CUCCUUUGACCUGGUUCACACCAAGAAUAGAUCUUCCUCUUUCGUCGUCGAGCUGUUGUAGUGAUCGGUUGUAGUGCUCCUGUGAUUUUCUACAAUUCCCUUUGUCUCCAAAAGGUGCCAAGUCAAGACUGAAGAGAAGAUUACGGGUUUUUAUUGUCAUCUGGGCUGCCCAACCUACAGUCAUAGUAGGCCUAGAAUAGUGCUUUCUAUUUUAUAAUUAUCGUUUCCCAACUUAAUUAAGACAUGUAGGUUAUGCUUUGUAGUACAUUUAAUGAAUUAUUUGCAUGCUUGGUUGUUGUUUUAUAGUAAUUUUUGACACGAAAAUGGACUUUAUUAGGAGAAUAGAUCCAGCAGCAGAGUUGGACUUUACAGUGUCUAGUUAUAAUAUAGCAGCUGAAGUUCAUUAUGGAUUUUGUAAUUUGAGAAGUGGUGUUGGGUAGACGCAGUGAUAAUUUUACACUUUACUGAAAUUAUUAUUAAUCUAGCCAAUGAAGGCAAGGCCUCAUAAAUCGGCGGAGACCUGUGUUUUUGAGGUUCUGCAACUUGAAAUUAUUUACCAUGUGUUUUUGUUAGUAACUAUAUUGUAGUGAAUCUCUCCACUACUUACUAUUGAUUCAGAGCGUUUGAUGGUAAUAGCAAACCAUAAUGGUAAUGCAAUGAAGUAUUAAAAUCUUAAUCAUUAGGAGGCUAACAAGAAAUGGCUUUAUUUUUAGUAAAUUUAUUAAAUAGGCAUUGGAGAAAAAAUUGCUCAAAAAUGUUCAACUUGGAGACUGUAAAUUUUACUUUAAAACAGAAUCUUUAAUUUUUAAUAAUUAUUUUUAAAUCUAAGCAACUAGUCUGCAUUAUGCACAAUAGUUAUUCAUUUCUACCAGCACGUCGUCUUCUUUCUACACUACUUCUCGCUAAAACAGUUUUUGUAAAAACUAUUGUUUUGUUAAUUUUAAAUACUUAAAGAGUAUUAUAUAUGUAAAUGCUUCAAGAAAUAUGUGGCAAAUUAGAGUUAGUUACCAACAUUAUAUAAUAAACAAGUGCACUUGGUUGAUGACAAAUAUUUUAUUCUUAAUCUAUAAUAAAAUACCUCAAGAUUAUAUCGACUAAUGACUAAAUAGCAAAGCAAAUGGUGGUCAUUUUUUUUAUGAAUCUUGAUAUUCCUCAAAAAUGCUUAUAUAAAAACUACUGGCCUAAUUUCUGAAUUUUCAUAUACUGACCUAAUAUCUGCAUUUUAAUAUUACAAGUAUGAUUUAAUUGUCGUCGGUAUAUCCUUGAUAUAUUUACUAAAUUUAAUUUCAUGUGAUGGAAUACCUACCAGAAAUAUAAUCAUUAUUAAUUUGUUUUUCAAUCGCCGAUAAAAUUUGGUAACAGGGAAGGAAGUGAAAAGGUUUGAAAUUAAUUUUUUUACAUAACAUAUAUCUUUGUUUAACAUAAUUUUCAGCAAAUAUUUUUUUAUAGAAGUUAAACUGUUGCAAGCCUACAUUCUUGGAUGGUUGGUUAUAUUAUCGAUGGUUGGUUAUUUUAUCGAUGGUUUUCUCACCUUACGGUGUGGUUAUAAUUUAUACUAAUUAUGUAAGCAUCUUGUAUACAAGAUAUUUUAGCUUGGCACAUCUUGUUCCAUUUAAACAUGCUGUUAUAGAAGAAUUAAAUCAAUAUUGUUAACAUCUCUUAUUAUGCUUAAUAAAUGAAUACCUUAAUGACUGUGUUGAUAAAUAUAAUCAAAUAUUAAUAUGAAUGUUAUUACUAAACGUUGUGUGAAUAAAAUUGAAAAAAAACUCUUCGACAAAUCAUGGACUAAUAUUUCAUUAAACACAACUAAUAUUUCUUAUAGACCGCUAUUGAAGUAUAAGAUAAGACGUAAGGUAUAGUUUUAAGUUGGGAAAUGAAUCAGGUUGAAUUUGUAAGCAGGUUUCCGGGUUUCAGGUAGCUAUAAUGUGUCAUUGUGUUUUCCACAGCUUUCACAGUUGUGGGAGUCCCAAUUGAUUCUCUAGUUUUUCUGACCCAAGCCUGCCUGUAAUGAUAAUUGUUGUAAUGUGGACAGCUCUUUCUACAAUAAAGUUUGUUCUGUUAAUAAUUACUCGUAUUUGUUCAAUUCUCUAUCCUCUAGUUUUUUAACAUAUCUAGUUUUGUUGGUGCAGCUUUUAGGUUUGGCUGGCUACUUGCACCUGACCUAUGGUGUGAUAGAAGCAGUUUUUGAGGGGAAAAGAAAUAGCGUAUUCCGGCCUUUGUCAAGGAUUGUAUAUCGCCACUGCUAAUACUGUACAUGUGAAACGGUCGUCAAACCCCUUGUAAUACCAUGUUUGUAUGAUAGAAGGUAUGUGAUAGUUGGUAUGCAGGACUAAAAGCCUACUAUUGUUUGAUAUGACAUUUGGUAAAUGAUUAUUGCGAAUGUGCUAUUAAUGUUGAAUGAAAUUUAAGUUGUUUAUAAAACUGAUUGUUUUAAAUAGUAAUCUCAAGUUUUUUUCUCAUCAAAGAAUAGCUUUUGCUAAAAUCUGAAACUGAUCAUCUCAAAAAUUAAAGAAUAAGCAAUGCUGUACUAUUAAGUUAACUCAUGUUUCUAUGGAAACUACAUGAAGGUUGUGCAUGAAGUUUCCAUACUGAGAAAAUCUCACUCGAAUAAUUCUAAUGUGAAGAAGUAAACAUUGAAUUGCAGGAAUCAUCUAUGAAUGCUUGUACAGUUGAGGUAACAUUUGACUCUUUGUUCAUAGUUAAAGUUCCUUCAUGUACAUUUUGGUGUAGAUGAUUUAGUAGAAUACACAUAUCGAAAUUGAUUUUGAUAAAAACUUAUAAAAAGGUGAGAUACUUCAGUGACAGUGCCUCACAUUAGUGAAUGUUCUUAUGAUUUUAAUGGUCGGAUAUGGAAAUGUAUGUAAUGCAGAACUGAUACUUUCAGAAGUACUUAGUAUCGUGUGUCGCUGCUCUCCGAAAAAUGUUGCUGAUACAUGAAUGACUCCUCAAAGAACAAGGCAAGUUCGUUCAGUUACAAUGGUGUCCCUUUUUGGUAAUUUUAUGGUUAAUAUAUUACAUUUUCAUUUAUUUAGUUAUUUUUCGCUGUCUAAAUGAUCAUGUUCUUAUUUAUCCUAAACGAGUAUUAUGUAAAAUGUUAUAGCCUACAAAGCAAAAGAAUUUUUGGUUUAAGUUGUACAGCACACAAUUCAUUCAUUGUUGAAGAUAAGAUAACAUGACUUCUAUUUUUACAGCCUACUAUGUAAAAAAGAUUUUUUGUCCAGCAGAUAUUGUUAAAAAGUAACACAUGAGUUGCUGUAAUUUACACAUGCCAUGUUUUAAUAUUUCUGUUGUGAAUUUUUUCUAUAGAUUUAUUAACUGAAUAAACAUGUUCAGAUAUAUUUUUCGCUUAAAAAAUUCAUAGCAUUGGUUUAUGAUUGCACUUUUAUUAAACAAACCAAUUAAACGUACAUUUGAGCUGGUUCUGUAUUUAACUGAAUUUAUCAAACGGUUAGUAGUGUAAUCUGAAGCCCUAUAAACUGCUUAAUUAAGUCUAUUAUUGAACUGAAGCGCGUGGAACUUUUUUAGUGUCUGCUGCCUUAGCUGCCGAUUUUACACGUCUAUCGACAACACCAAGAUGUUCAAGCCGCAUUGUACAGAGAAGAGAAUCAUCAAGGCUGUUUUGAUACGGUAACAUCGAUAGCAAUGUGCUUCUCUAUGCGUUUAGUAAAUCGUAACAUUACAGUUAUAAUGUUUUAGUUCUUCUGAUUGUAAUGGAUGACAACGCAUGUACUGUGAUGGAUGAUCAAACUAUAUAAUAUCAACAAACAGUUAUUGUAUCAAACUAUAUAAUAUCAACAAACAGUUAUUGUAGAAACAAAUAACAAAAAAUAAUCGACUCAAUUUUAAAUAGCUGAACUUUGUUGCUCACUAGCCAUGCUCUCAUGUACUGACAAUUUAUAUUGGUUGCUUAUUACUGAAGCAUUUAAAACAAAGGAAUUUCUCCUUUAUGAAAUCAUUCUCUCAACUUAAUAUCAUGGAUUUGUAAUUAAAUUCUCUAAACAAAGCAUAGUUAAAACUUUUUAUGUCUCUUUAAGAUUUAGAUUUGAAGUUACUGCCUAAAAAGAGCUUUUAACAUGACUAAUUUUGUUUUAAGUAAGUAGGUCUGAUCCUAUAACUAUCUUUAAACCAAAUUAGCCAUUCUUAAUUAAAAAUCUUCAUAAAGAAAGGAAUGAUGGCUUUUUGUGCAAUUAUUGACUACUUUAAAGUUUAAAGAUAACAUUUUGAUUGAUCUUUUGUCUAGUAAUAAUAUCUGAAAAGGUUGGUAGAAUUUGCAGACACUUUAAAUUGUUAUAGGCUCAAAAAUAUUUCUAAAUCAAUCUUAAAAUUAAAACAAAAUACAUGUCUUGGGUUUUGUAGUGGUGCAUUCAUGAAAUUACAAGACUGAAUUAUGACUAAAAAAUAAAAAUUUGUGAAUAAAAUAGGUCGGUUUUUGAAAAAGAGUCAUAAUUCUGUAACAUGUAAAAGGUACCCUAAUAUUUUAAAAUGUAGUGAAAUGUUUCUUUCAAUUCAAAAUUGUGGUAGAAAUAUUUGAUUAAAUUAAAAUUGUGUCAUAUUACUGUAUAAAGUAGUACAAUUGAUCAUUUUGAUGUGAACAAUACAAAGAAUUAUUGGUUUAAUUUUUUCCCAAUCUGUAUAAAAUGUUUAGGCUACAUACAACAAAUAACUAGAUAAAUGCUACCAAUAAUUCAUAAAAAAUGCUCAUUUGUUUCAAUGAAUUACCUGUAUUGAUGAGUUAAGACUUUGUAAAUUUUGUUUACUAUUUUUUAAAAAUUCUUGAGAAAUCUUGCACUAUAUUGUUGCUGAAUAAUAUAUUUGGCAAGAAAAACUAUGUUGUAAAAAUUUUGUUUUUGUAUACAGUUUAACAAUUAGGAAGUAACUAAAAGGCAUUUUUCACCAGUUCAUGAACUGUAGUCUAGUUCUAACUGAUUUUGAGUGUUAAAGAGGAUACAGUGUUUAUUUUUGAUUUUUACAUUGUCUUUGUUCUCCAUUUUGUCGAAGGAUUGACAGAAAGUUUAGACUGCUUGAUAGAAAUUACACUUUUCCAAGAUUUAAGUGGACGUUUUAAAAAUAAAGCACCUAUUUAAAAUUCAAGGAAUUUCAACAUUGCAGAAGUAAAUACAAUAUGUGAAGAAAUCACAUUUUGCAGGAACUGUACGUAUAAAGGAAGAACAACCAACUUCUAUUUCAGCUUGUAGUGAAAUCAAAUUUAUAAUAUUAAUCACUCAAAUGUGGCAGAAAUACAUUUCAAGAAUUGUUAAAAAAUAAACUCAACUGCUAGUGGAAUGCGAGAAUCUGAAAUUAUACACAAUUUCUUGUAAUACAAAGUGAAGUAAAACAAAAUCAAUUAAAUAAUCAGCAAGAAAAAUCUGAGUUUGAUAAUGUGAUAUGAAAAAGGUUAGUAUACUUUAAUUCAUUGCUUUUGUUCAUUUAAAUUUGAUUAAAAUACAUUUUUAGUAGUCAAAGUAGGGAAAGCAAAUAUUUAUAACAUUUUGUUGGUAAUUGCCUAAUUAAAUUUAUUUUACAAAUCUCAAACUUAUUUCCUUCACUUAAACUAACACUAUUAAAAAAAGUAGUAAUGUGGAGUCUGGCCACAUUACUGAAAAAUUGUGAGAAGCUGAUACAAUAUUAGCUGAAUAAUGUGAAUCUUUUUAUUAAGCUUAAAUUAAUAAAAUACAUGAGGGUCACUUUGAAAGUUAAAGAUACCAGCAAACUUUCAUUCUGCAAUAUAAAUUUUUAUAGGAUUGUCUCAGUGUUAGUGAUUACAUAAAUAGCAAUCUGGAGUCAUCUGUGUCUUAUCUCAUUUAAAAUUAAUUUGAUCAUAUCUCAAGAGGAAAGCGCAAAACAUCUAAAAAUUGCCUUGAUUCUGAAGUUUCAUCUUGUUUUAUUGUCUUUAGGUAGCAUCCAAAAUUUUGAAGAUGCUGUAAUUCGUGUCAAAAUAAUAAAACAUUUGGGAAGGCUGCAUUCUGUUAUCACUCAAGAAAACGUUUAUUAGGUGUGCAUUAUUCAAUGAUUGAGGCUUUUCCUUGGGAUUGAAACCGCAGUAGUGCGAAUAGUCUUCCAUGACUUUAUAAGGGUCAAGAAAAAUUUAUCUCAUGGGUAGCUCACAAUUUGACAACUGAGCAAAAAACUGAGUGAGAAUCAGCUAGCAGACCCUCCAACUGAUAAAUGAACAUGGUUUUCUUCAGGAAUAAGAGACAACUAAAGGCUAUUAAUCUGAAGGGACAAAGGACUUGCAGCAAGUUAAUACACUGAACAUUGCAUACUAGAAGUUCUUCCUCACUUAAAACACAAGUACACUGGUGCAAAAUCUUUUUAGAGAAUUAGGCCGGAAAUUUCAUCAAAAGAGCACCCCUCUUAUUCACCCAAUCUUGCUAUAUGAGACUGGUUAUUCUUCCAACUAAAAAAAGUUUGUACAGUUGUUACUUCGGAAGUCUGAAUUGAUAGAUUCGUAAAUAUUUUUAUUCUAUCCAAAAAGUUGGGUGCUUUCAAUGAGUGGAAAAUUGACUUCAAAGUGCUUUGAUGAUGUGGAGGGGAUUGAUUUGAACACGCAACAUUUGGUGUACAUAUGGUACGAAAACUUGAUAGAUGUAUAUAUUAUGAACUUUCAGAGUGACCCUCUUAUUUCUUAACACAAAAUGUAUUAAGAUUUUGGUACUUAAUUUCUCACGAUCGUACAGUUAGUCAAUGACUUGAUAAUUGCUGCUCUUCCACAUGCUAAUUUUGGACAGUGUGCGGAAUUUGUAUUUUGUCAAAUCAUUAAUCUGUUGAUUACAGAUAGUGUGACAAAGUCAACAGUCAUGUGAGUAGAUAAUAUUUUUGAUAAAUAACAUUUGUACAGUAUUGAGUUUUCAUGAAUCUGGCAUAAUAAUACAGUAGUUAUUACAAAUAGACCAGUUAAAAUCUAAAUGUUCAUUACCAACUAAAUAACACAAUUUAAAAAAAAUAAUAUUUUUUUGAGUGUUGUGACAUGGAAUUCUUCAGAAAAAGACGAGCGCUUUCACAUAACCAUGAGGAUAUAAUAUGAUUUGGGUGGUUUGUGUAUGUAUUCCAAAAAAUGAUUUUUUUAAUUAAAAAAAAAAUUGCACACAAUAAUUUGAAUUGUGUAAUAGUGUGUUUGAACUAGUUUUGACAAUGUUGAAUUAAAUUUGAAUACAGGCAACCAUCUCAACAGAUUAUAGUAGAGUAUCAACUGAAAGUAGCCAAAACAAGUCAAUUACAAUGUGUUGAAGAGGAAUUAUAUGACAAAAUGUGUAUUGUGAUUGCAAUAACUUAUGCAGGUAACUGAGGUUUAUUCUUAACAUUAAUUAUCAACCAAAGCAAGUUCCAUAAAAGAUAUAUUACAUGAAUUGGCAGCAAGUAAUUGUAAUGUGAAGACAAAUUUAACUAACAAAGAAAAGCUACCUGUAUCAUCUUUACUAAAAAGUUUGAUCAAACUGUGGGCAUAAUCUUGAUUUUCUGUUUUUCAUUUGAAUUUUGAAUGAAUAAAUAAGCUAAAGCAAAGAAGUUGGCAUUUAACUGAAUGGUUUUUCAUGUCUCCACAAGAGAGUGAUGUCAUCUUGAAUUAAAUGCAUACCCAUUACAGAACUUUGUCAGCGGUGGAACAGACUAGUCUACUACACAGUAGUCUUCUAGUACAAGAGUUAUCGAAGUGAUGCUAUUAAGAGAGAGCCGAGUUGCGGGUGUGCUUUUAUGGAACCGACAAGCCCAUUCUUCUUAUGCCAGCACGAUCUGUAAGCUUUUAUGGUUAUUAACACUUCAAUAUAUUUAACAAACAUCCUCAUGACUUGAACAUGAGUAGUAAUAGACAUUAUGAAAUAAAUAAUGGUCCAAUUCCUUAACUGCAGCAGAUGCCACAUGGAUGGUUAAGAUGCUCACGAUCACUCUGUAUAAAACCAGUCGAGUGUUGAACAUGUACAAAAUUAUAUAAUUUAACUUUUUAAUUAACACGUUCACAACGAUGUGUACCCAACCAGCUACACGUGAUAUUUUACAACUGCCAUUGUAUACCUGAUUGGUACACACUAGACUUUUGUAUUGCAAGUUGUAGGUACACGUAGCUAUGAAUUUCGUUUUUGGGUUUUUUGUUGUUUUCCUGUCUUGGUGGUUUUUUAAAUUUGAUCUCUUGCUUAAAUACCUCAAGACUAUUGUGUACCCCUCUGGGUGCACAAUUGUUUAAUUUUUAAAAUAAUUUUUUAAGCACCCCUUAGGGUUUUUUGCAAAAUUUAAAAACAUUGAAAUAAAUAUUUUUGUACAAAAUUGCGAAACCCUCUUUAUACUUACCUUUGACGUACUAAAAAUCCUAUUACGGUUUUUUUUCCAUCCAUAUUACUUAAAAAUUCAACAGCAAAUUAGUCUAGAAAAACACUGAUGUGAACAUGUUAAGGCAAUGGAAAAAAGACAUAGGUUUUUUUUAUAGUUGCUACUACUAUUUCAAUAAUUACUACGAAAUUGGGAAAAUCUUAAAUUAUUGACCCUAGUACUGUGGUAGUUUUGUAAAUUAUGAAUUUGUUUAAAUUUUUUAAGAAUUUGUGAAAAAGUGUGAAAUACUAAACUGCAUGAUUUACUUACUGUUUUCUACAGUUUUAUAUAUUGGUUUAUGUACAUCUAUAAUCCCUUUAUAAUUGUCUUCUUUAAUCUGACAUUAUUUGCAACAAAUAAAAUAAAAUUAGGCUAUACAUUUUAAUGACAAACUUUUCUUUCCUUAUUUAGUGAGCUAAAAGAAAAAUAAAAAAGUUCUGAAAAUUAUCAAUAUAAGUAAUACAUACAUACAUAUAUAUAUAUAUAUAUAUAUAUAUAUAUAUAUAUAUAUAUAUAUAUAUAUAUAUAUAUAUGUAUAUUAAUUCUUUAUCUAAAGUCAAUUUCAUCUUGGAAGAAAUGAAGACAAGCUCUGUUCUACCCUCAAGGCAAAGCGGGUAGGGGAGGGUGUUUCCUCUUGUUUAGGAUAGUCACAAUUUUCAACACGAAGAUCUCUACCCACUUAGUCAUCCUCCUAUCUGUCAACUGUAUCUCACCAAAUCUCAGGAGUGAUGUGCGGUUCCUAGACAGUCGUGUUGCCCAUAUGCGACAGUGAUUUUGCUGUACCCAGUGGAGGUUCAACUUGAAGGUACUUUAAGUUUUAAUGAUAUAACCCUAACUAAUCUAUAUUAAUCAGUAAAACUAGAAUUGGAACAAAAAAAAAUGAAAAAUCAACACCACUCAUGUUGAACACAACCAUGGCCAAGAGGGGAAUUGAGUCACUCAUUUUUAUUUGGUCAGAAAUGCCAAACUAGCACAAAAUAGCUCCUCUUGUUUGUGAGUUGGUGUACCCACUCUUCCUCUUCAUUAUAUUGAAUUUUUAAACAAAAUAUAUUAUAUAUAUAUAUAUAUUUGAGUCGAUUUGUUCCUAAUAUCUUUAUCUUUCUGAUUAGCAAUGUAAUUAAUUAGUUUAGAACAGCUCAGCGACUAUAGGUAUAGGGGAAACACGUGCGUUGCAAAAACUUUGUUCAAGGUAGGUUGGUUAAGGUGAGUACUUUUUUCUAGUUUCCAUUUUCAGGGAUCUUAACUCGACAAGAAGACAAUUUGACAUAUCUUGGAAUAUCUUCAAUUUCUACAUCGGUCUAAGAUCUGAAACUUAUUCUGAAAUGAAAUGAAAUAUGCCUCUAUUUAAGAGGCGGAGGAGGAGGAGGUUUAUUUAUUCUGCUGAUGUUGACUGCGACUUCAGUUAUAUUUGAUCACUUACAGAUUUGACUACAUUAUUUUACUGAAAUUUUAAUAAAAUUAAAAGUAUUUGUCGGCAAUAUUGUAGUUUUGAAUAAGUUUUAUUACAAUAAAAUAAGUAUCAUAUAAAUGGUUUUCAUUUUUGCCAGUUUUUUUCCGUUUUAAUUUAAUAACUACACUUGGUGGAUAGAUUAUUAAAAUACUAGUCUGUACAAAAAUCCAUUGAAGUAAUAUUUAUUUGCCUUUUUUUUUUUAAUGUAAAAUUUGGUUUUGAAUGCGUUUAUUAUUGAUACUGUUACAAAUAAGUUUUUUUCUGUUAGGAUUCAAUCAGCUGCCAUCUGUUACUGAUUUUUUAUAACUGUUAGGAUCUUAAGGUACAUUUUUUCGGUAUAUUUGGUAUCAUAAAACGUUAUAUGUAUAAUGUAGAAGUAUGAAACAUAUUGCACAUCGUGGUUACCCAAUAUACUUUUUGUUGCUAAGAACUGAAAAUUAUAAAUACAAUUACUUGAUCACAAUGAAAUAUCACAAAUAAAAUGUUCAUAUGCUGCUUAUACACUUGCUAAUAGUUUUAAGGAAUUAUUUUAGUGUAGGUUGGGGCUUUUUGUUGUUAAUUUUUCUUAGAAAAUGCAGACUUUAAUAUUAAUAAUGAAAAAAAUCCUAUUGCAUUUAACUAGUGGAUUUCGUUUAAGAAAAAUUAAGUCUUGGCAAGAUAAUUUUGUGUAUGAACAUUAUAUACAUGAAGAUCGUAUGUGUUGAUAAAGCUCCUACUAAAGCUGUGAAAUGUUUUGACAUUUUCUUGUUGAGCAUUUUAAUAUUUGUUUUAAUCAACCAUAAUGUCAUACAGAUGUCAUAAAAAAAUAUUUUGUUUCAUUAACCAGAAGUAUUUUGGGGUUCUAUUUAAGCUAAUUUGAAAAGAUUGGAUGAUUUAACCUUUUUUUAUUGUCUAGUAUAAUAAUUAGUUCUAACGUAAUGCAGUAAACCAUGUUUGGUGGAUUUUGUUCAUUGGCUUGACAAUAAAAGAAUUUAUUAGUUGAUAAAAUUCUUAUAGUGUAUUAAAAAAGCUAGCAAUUAAUUUGAUUAAACAUUUAUAAUAUAAUUUAAUUGAUUUGAAUGCUCUGUUAUAAGAUUAUUAAAUUGAUAUAUUUUGGAAAUUACUGCUUUGUUUUCUCAGAAAACAUGUAAUAUGGUUUUAGAAGUGCUGUUUUGAUCCAGCAGGAAUUAUAUGAACUUGACCAUGUGACAAUAUUCUCUAUGGCUUCUCAAGUUUCACACGGCAUAUUUUAGACAGAGGUAUGGAGAGAACUCUAGUGUGCGUUUGACCUAAACUGAUGUGUAAUAAAACCCAGGAGAUUGCUGCAGCUGUCGAAAAUGAGGUAUUUUGGAGAUGGGAGUAUAUUUUGAAUAUAGAUGUUUUAUUUUUAACUGUGUACAUUUGGAUUAUUGGUAUUAAUAAGAUCCUUGUAGUUUUUCUUAUUUAAAAUAUUAUGGUAUGUUAUCAAAAAAUAUUGCUAGUGAAUCUUGCUCUGCUGGUCUGAUGCUUGUGAUGAUAUUACUAAUUCCUAGAAAUAUUCCUGUAGUUAUUUAAGAGAAAAGAUUCUGCUGUAUCACUUUUUUAUUCAGCUUACUUUUUCAUUUACAUUAUUUUGUAUCUUAUCUUAAAGAUGACAAAAAGGUGGUCAUAUAAUUAUUAUGUUUAAGAUUUAUUAAUCAUAUUUUGUCAGUCCAAUCAUAAAAGCACUUUGAUUUUUCUUCCAAAGUGAUGCCUGUUGGUGAUCUUUGUCCUUAGGAAUGGCAUUGCAUACCUUGGCUCUGGCAUACAUUAUUUUUUUUUUAGUAGCUGACAUUUUCUAUAUGGAAAGAUGAUAACUGCUAGUGUACCUUUUGAAGUAGCUGUGGUGUUUGCAGUUUCUUGCUGCUUCAGGUAGUUUGCAGACUAGGUUUUCCACAGUAAGGACUUUUAACUCUACGAAGUCCUGUCUACAGGAUUAUCUUUAGUAGAAUCCUUAAUAUUGAUGAGAAUCCUAAUUGGAAUUUUUUGUGAAUAAGGAGCCACUGCUGCUAUCAGCUACCUCCUGUUGUCUCCCUAAACUAUAGUCCCAUGUCAGGAGCCUUUGUUGAUUUUUUUGUCUCUAAAACUUCCUAACCAGCACAUAAACAAGUUCUUUUUAUAAUUUUUAACAAAGAUUAAAUAAUCAGUACAAGUGAGACGUCCUCAGUAACUAUUCCUAGGUACUUGCUGUGGUUGUUUCCUCUAGAUUGCCUAUAGUUUCUUUGUUACUUCCUAGAGUAAGUUCUUUUGUUUUAUUUUCAUUAACUACAAGGUAGUUUCCUUCACAAUACUGAAUUCCAAUAUUUAGUGCAAUGUGCACAGGUAUUUCAAGUUGAUUUUAUUUACUUCGCAAGAGUACAUUGCACAUCAAUCUAUGGCUGUAGUUUUCUAUUUGUCUUGGGGAAUCAUUUGUUUGUAAAAUGUACAAAACUGGCCCCAGUACAGUACACUUUAACACACUACGAUUUGUCUUUAUGGUCUCCGGGAAUGACUUAUCUGACAUGUCCAGUUAUCAUUGGUAUAGUUUAUCGCAGGCUUCAUUCUGUAAGAUAACUAUUUAACCAGUCAUUUUAAAAACCUCUGGUGUGUUUUUAACCUCCUUCCCCCAAAAUUGCCAAGUUUUGCCAAAAAAGGUGGUCAUGGUUGAGGCAGUCAAAGGCUAUAGUCAAGUAGAAUGGCUGUGGCUUUGUUAUCUUCCUUCAGUUGGUCUGUUCUGAAUUUCUUCAAGUUGAUAAGGUUGAUACAAGCUGUUGUUGAUCUAGUCUGAAAUGCUGCUAAGAUGCUUAGUUGACAAGUUUUGUGUUGUCUGGUCAGAACAGUUUUUCUGUAACAUUAAAAAUAAUAAAGUGGAAAACUGUUGAAAACCAGUAGAUGUUUUGUUUUCAGUGAUUGGAUUAGUUUAUCCAUCUUAAUUGGAGUUAUUGGUCGCAGUAUUAAGUUUGGAAUAUCUUAAGUUAGUCUGUUAGUAUUCUUUGGUUAUAUAGAAGAUUCUGAUUUAAUAUAAAGUGUCCUCAGCAAUAUUUAUGAAAAAUUAAUUGAGGUUUUCUAAAUUUGUGUUAUUGCACUAAAGAUCAUUCAUUGGUUUAUAAGGUUUAUACAAUCCUCAACAUUUUUUAUAUUCAAUUAUUUUAGUUGAAAAUGUAUGCGUGUAUGUGAAAAAAAACUGGUUACUGGAGUCAUUCGUGAAACAGGUCCUGCUAUACUUCCUUAUAGAUCACGCCUACUACUUAAAUUAAAAAAUAAUAUGGGACCUUGUAAGGGAUGUAGAAAUAUUAGGAGAUAAAUGAUUGUCACAAAAAUUGUACAUAUAGGCGGGCCUAUUAUGGCUGCUUUGCAAAAAAUUUUUAUAAAUGCUCUCAGGCAUGUUAUCACUAAAAAAUGUACUUGUGUUUUUCAGCGUGAAUUUUUUCGUAAUUUUCGAUUUGAAAUGUAUAAAAUUUACUUCAUACAUCUUUGUAAACGUGCAAUUUUUAUCUUAUUAGACAAGAUUGGUAUUUAACACUUAUUGUAAACUUUACUAAAAUCUGAUAUAUAGCUGAAACAAUUAUAAUCAAGGAAGCUUCAGUUCCGUUUACAACAGUACAUCGUUCACAAUAGCACGUAGAGCAGCAACAAUAAACUUGAAGAACCUGUAAAAUAAAUAUGUUGUUUCUUGAAAACUCAGUAUAGAAACAGUUGAUUGCAGUUAAGCAGAAUAUUUAAGUAAUGAAAUAUAACUUAAUGUGAUGAGUAAAAAACAUUCAAAUAUCAUGACAAACUGAUCACUUCAGCGAUGUACAUUUUGUUUUGACAGACCCAAAAUUCCCUCCUUGACCGAGGAAACUCUAUAAAUGAACAUUAUGUACAUAGAGAUUAUAUUAUAUUAUAUGUAUUGGUCAAACACACAGAAAAUUCCCUCCUUGACCAAGGAAACUCGAUAAAUGGACAUGAUCUAUAUAGAGAUUAAGUGUUGGUCAAAGAUCCAAGUAUAACUGCGAGUCUUGUAAGUAAUAUAUUUUUCAGUUUCUAUUUUUGAGUGUUUUAAUGCUUGCUAUAACAGCAACUACAAAAACAAAAUAGAGACCAGUACUUACAUUUGGAGAGGAAUAGUGUUCCAUUAACAAGUUUAAGUAUUUUGUUUAAAUUUUCGCAUUUUAACAAUGAAAAUGAAACCGUUUUGGGUUGAUUGUAGUGGCUAAAAGAAUCUUAAGACAUUCAUACUAUAAUAAUUGAAUUUACUAUAUUAGUUUUCUCUAGAUAAAGUUAUGUAAUAUGGUUUUAGAAAUGGUGCCUGAUCCAGCAGGUAUAUAUAGAAUAUACAUAACAGAAAUGAAAGGUAUAAAAUAAAAUCAUAUCAUUAUAUCAGAUGAAAGUAUUAAAAUUAAAAUUGAAACUACCAAUAAAAUGAUUUAAAUCUAUUUAUGAGAUUAAUAAAUAUAUAAUGUGUUUUAGAAUUGGUAUCUUUUUGUGGAGAAGUGGACGUUUGUUAGUAUGGUUUAAAAUCAACUGCAGCAGGAGUCUUAUAGUAACCUUUGGUGAACUUUUCCGAUUUUUUAGGAUGAUAGAAGAAAAUAAAAACUUCGAUUUUAAAAACAUGAAGCAUUAUCCUCUUUUUUUAAAAACCUGAAGCAUUAUCAGCUUGAGGACUUUGGUUAAGAAAUUUCGACUUGACAAGAAUAUUUGGUGAAUAAACAUCUCUACAAAGUUCAAAUGUGUUGAUUGUUCUGACUAUAGAAGUGAGUGUUAUAAAAACAUAUUCAAAUUUGAGUUACUGCACACAAAAAUUUGUUAUUUUACCCAGUUAAAGUAAUUAGUUGUUUUUUAUCGCAUUAUAACUAAUUUGAAAAAUAAAUUAUUAAACCAUAUUGAGUGUUGCUGGUAGUGCCAAAAAGAAUAAAAUUAAUCAAUUGGUAAUAUGUUUUGGAAAUGGCUUUUGCAUUUUCUUUCCCCAGGAAAAAGAUUUGUAAAGUUAUUUUUAAUGUCCUGCUUGAUCCGGCAGAAAUAAUAUGAAUUUAAGGAUGUGACUUACGAUUCUCCUAUGACUAUGCAAACCUGUAGUGUAUGUUAAAACCUAUUUACUGAUUUUACGAAAACCAGGAUGUUACUGUCAGCUAUCCUAAAAUAGGUAAAGUAGAGAUGCAAAUAUAUCAACUAUUGUAAACUUAAACAAAUAACACAAAAUAUAGAAGUAUAAAAUAUUUGCAUAUCACAAGUAAUUUCACAUAAUUCAUACAUAUAAUAAAAAAAUAAUAUAAUGGUACAUAUAUGAAUUAGAAUAUAGAAAUUAAUAUUUUCACAAUGUAGUUGUUGGUUGUUUGUGUUGUUUUGUUAUUUGUCAGGAAUAGAUAUCUAACCGCGAUUUGUGGAGUUCCUGCCGUACCUACUUUAUAUUGAGCUUACUACACGAGGAAUUUAGAAAACGAUGGGGCCGAUAAUCGAGGUAGAAAUAUCGGAGGUAAAUGAUUUAUUCACAAGACUUAUAUAAUAGAGGUAUAAAAUAUAAGCACAUGUUUAUAUAAAUAUCAGAAUAGAAAUGUUUGAUAAUAAUAUUAAAACUACCAAUAAAAAGAUUUUAAAGUGUAUAUAUAUAUAUAUAUUUGAGAAUAAUCAAUGGAAAAAUUAUUGUGGAACUGGCAUCUCGUUGUUUGUUUCUUAGGCGUGGAGGUUGUAGUGUGAUUUAAAUGAACUGUCUUAUACUGCGAGAUUCAUAUGUAUGUGCCCAAGUGAUUUGAAAUUCAUAUGACACUGCAAGUUUUAAUUAACGGGUACGGAGAUUCUUGUAUCGUGCUUGUCGGAGCCCAACAUAAUCAGUUGUCAUGGAAUUUAGGAGGGUGCCAGCUAUAUAGAAAGAGGUACAAUUUAAUAAUUGUACUAUAAAUUAUUUGUUAGCUAUACAGUACUUACAAUUAAUUCUUGUUUAAACUUUUAUUUGCAAAAAGUUUUUGUUUGUUGUGUGUCUUGGUUUGUUACUUGUCAGGAUUGGAUAUAUUACUGCCAACUGCGAAGGUAUGGGGAGUCACGACUGAAAGGAGUUCUUACUGUACUUUCUUUACUCCAGCCUACUACGUGAGGAAUUAAGAAAAGUGUGGGAUCUUGUAAGCAAAGUAGUAUUACUGGAGGUAAAUUAUUUGUCACUAAACUUCUACAUAUAACGCAGAAUAUAGAAGUAUAAAAUAUUAGCACGUCACAGGUUCAGAUAAAAGUUUAAAAAAUUAAACAUUAAAACUACCAAUACAUUUAUUUUAAAGCGCUAUUUAUUAUGACCUUAAUCAAUUGAUAAUUUGGAUUGGAAUUGGCAUCUCUCUUUGUUUCUUAAGAAUGGAAGGGUUUAUAGUAUGGUAGAAAACGGCUGUGGGAGUCAUAAGUAUUGGCCCCAGUGACUGUGUAAAUCGAGUGGCAAGUCCUUAACGGCAUAUGUGGAUAAGGGGAUACUUGAUCAGUGGUUAUUUGAACUCUGCAAUUUAACGAUAUCACGAAAUCCUGGAGAUUACUGCUUCCUAUAUUAAAUGAGGUAAAUUACAGUUGAGACAAUAAUAGAAUUAAAAGUUUUAUAUAGUUAAAAAUCCUUAUUAUUAGUCUUUGAAAAAUUCUUUAUUAGUCAGUAUUUAUUUAAUAUACAGUAUUAUUUAAAUUCAUCAACUUACGUCUGAAGUAAAAAAUGUAAAUUUUUGUUGUUGGUUGUGUGUCUUCUUUGGUUUUUUGUCAAGAUUUGGAGUACUAGUGCAUUAAUUACCUGGUCACUCGAAACAACGAGAUUCCCAGUCUGUGAUUGAGCCAACACGUGAUGGAUUAAGAUAUGAAUCUGAAGUCAUUUGAGGCAGCAGUGAGUUACUUGUAAGGAAUUUGUGGUUCAGCCGACAACUUGUUGUUUUAAGAUUUAUACAGAGACUUCCAAGAGAUGAUGAUAAACAAUGAUAAUAAUUAAUUUCACGUAAUUCAUACGUAUAUGAUAAAAAAUAAUUUAAUUGGUAUACUUCAAGGACAUUAUUCUGUAAAAGGUAAUAGCAUUAUUUGUUUAAAGAGUAGUAUUUGUAUUUUAUAAAAUAUAAAAGUUUUGAUUGAAAAUGAAAUAACUGGUUCAUAAGAAAGAAUAUAGCUUAAACACUCUUCAUGAGUCUAUGGAAUUAUAAUAUUGUUAGAAUAUUUGUGUUGUUUCUUAUUCUUAGGACGAUGGAAGAUAAAGCAGACUUUGAUUUUAAUCCUGUAGAAACGUAUUGCAUUAUCAACUUGAGGACUGUGGUUAUGAAUGUAAAGGCUUGGCAAGUGAACUUUGCGAAUGAACAUUAUCUCGUUGAAGUGUGUUGAUCAGGCUUCCAACUAAAGCCGUGAGUCUUUUAAUGACAUAUUCUAAAAUUUACUUUUUGAGUGUUUUAGUGUUUGCUGUAGCAAUAAGUACAAUAUCAUGGUAAAGAGCAUUAAUGUUGUAUUAACCAGUUUAAGUAAUUAGUUAUUUGAUUUUGUGCAUAAUAACUAUUUGAAAAAUGGAAUGAUUUAAUCCUUUUAGGUGUCUGAAGUGUGAAUUAUUCUAAUAUAAUUUAACAAUCAAAGUCUUAUAAAUGCUUUUGAUUGGUAUUUUAGUACUUGCAAUGUGGACAAACUGCCUAAAUAGUUUCAAAAAGAAUCGAUAAAAUAUUCAUACUACAAUUUAUUGAAAUGAAUAGCUCUAUUUCUUAAUUAAUCAGUUUUUAAUAUGUUUUGAAUAUUUUAUUUGUAUUAGUUUCCUUAGGGAAAAGAUGUGUGUGUAGUAUGGUUUUAGAAGCGGUGCCUAAUCCGGUAGAAAAAUAUGAGUUUGAGGAUGUGAUUUACAAUUAUCCUACGACUAUCCAGACCUGUGGAGUGCGUGUUGGAACCUAUAAACUGAUGUCGCGAAACCCAGGAAAUUACUACCAGCUAUUUAAUAAGAGGAUGAUGAGGUAUAGUAGAGAUGACAAUAUUUCAACUACCUACAUUCCGUAGAAUUUUGGUAUUAAUAUAAUUCUUUACAAUGUCUGUACUUGUAUUGGUUGUGCGUCUUGUUUUGCCACUUUUGUUAGGAUCAGAAACUUACCUACGAUUCAUGCUGCCUGCAUUCAUUUGAGGCAAUAAAUUCCUGCUGUAUCACUUUUUGAGGAAAUAAGAGAAAUAUUGGACCUUUUAUUCAAAGAUAACUAGAGGUAAAUGAUUUAUGUCACAGAACUUAUACAUAUAUGAAUUAGAAUAUAGAAAUUAAUAUUUUCACAAUGUAGUUGUUGGUUGUUCGUGUUGUUUUGUUAUUUGUCAGGAAUAGAUAUCUAACCGCGAUUUGUGGAGUUCCUGCCGUACCUACUUUAUAUUGAGCUUACUACACGAGGAAUUUAGAAAACGAUGGGGCCGAUAAUCGAGGUAGAAAUAUCGGAGGUAAAUGAUUUAUUCACAAGACUUAUAUAAUAGAGGUAUAAAAUAUAAGCACAUGUUUAUAUAAAUAUCAGAAUAGAAAUGUUUGGUAAUAAUAUUAAAACUACCAAUAAAAAGAUUUUAAAGUGUAUAUAUAUAUAUAUAUUUGAGAAUAAUCAAUGGAAAAAUUAUUGUGGAACUGGCAUCUCGUUGUUUGUUUCUUAGGUGUGGAGGUUGUAGUGUGAUUUAAAUGAACUGUCUGAUACUGCGAGAUUCAUAUGUAUGUGCCCAAGUGAUUUGAAAUUCAUAUGACACUGCAAGUUUUAAUUAACGGGUACGGAGAUUCUUGUAUCGUGCUUGUCGGAGCCCAACAUAAUCAGUUGUCAUGGAAUUGAGGAGGGUGCCAGCUAUAUAGAAAGAGGUACAAUUUAAUAAUUGUACUAUAAAUUAUUUGUUAGCUAUACAGUACUUACUAAUUAAUUCUUGUUUAACCUUUUAUUUGCAAAAAGUUUUUGUUUGUUGUGUGUCUUGGUUUGUUACUUGUCAGGAUUGGAUAUAUUACUGCCAACUGCGAAGGUAUGGGGAGUCACGACUGAAGGGAGUUCUUACUGUACUUUCUUUACUCCAGCCUAUUACGUGAGGAAUUAAGAAAAGUGUGGGAUCUUGUAAGCAAAGUAGUAUUACUGGAGGUAAAUUAUUUGUCACUAAACUUCUACAUAUAACGCAGAAUAUAGAAGUAUAAAAUAUUAGCACGUCACAGGUUCAGAUAAAAGUUUAAAAAAUUAAACAUUAAAACUACCAAUACAUUUAUUUUAAAGCGCUAUUUAUUAUGACUUUAAUCAAUUGAUAAUUUGGAUUGGAAUUGGCAUCUCUCUCUUUGUUUCUUAGGAAUGGAGGGUUUAUAGUAUGGUUGAAAACGGCUGUGGGAGUCAUAAGUAUUGGCCCCAGUGACUGUGUAAAUCGAGUGGCAAGUCCUUAACGGCAUAUGUGGAUAAGGGGAUACUUGAUCAGUGGUUAUUUGAACUCUGCAAUUAAACGAUAUCACGAAAUCCUGGAGAUUACUGCUUCCUAUAUUAAAUGAGGUAAAUUACAGUUGAGACAAUAAUAGAAUUGAAAGUUUUACAUAGUUAAAAAUCCUUAUUAUUAGUCUUUGAAAAAUUCUUUAUUAGUCAGUAUUUAUUUAAUAUACAGUAUUAUUUAAAUUCAUCAACUUACGUCUGAAGUAAAAAAUGUAAAUUUUUGUUGUUGGUUGUGUGUCUUCUUUUGUUUUUUGUCAAGAUUUGGAGUACUAGUGCAUUAAUUACCUGGUCACUCGAAACAACGAGAUUCCCAGUCUGUGAUUGAGCCAACACGUGAUGGAUUAAGAUAUGAAUCUGAAGUCAUUUGAGGCAGCAGUGAGUUACUCGUAAGCAAUUUGUGGUUCAGCCGACAACUUGUUGUUUUAAGAUUUAUACAGAGCCUUCCAAGAGAUGAUGAUAAACAAUGAUAAUAAUUAAUUUCACGUAAUUCAUACAUAUAUGAUAAAAGAUAAUAUAAUUGGUAUACUUCAAGGACAUUAUUCUGUAAAAGGUAAUAGCAUUAUAUGUUUAAAGAGUAGUAUUUGUAUUUUAUAAUAUAUAAAAGUUUUGAUUAAAAAUGAAAUAACUGGUUCAUAAGAAAGAAUAUAGCUUAAACACUCUUCAUGAGUCUAUGGAAUUAUAAUAUUGUUAGAAUAUUUGUGUUGUUUCUUAUUCUUAGGACGAUGGAAUAUAAAGCAGACUUUGAUUUUAAUCCUGUAGAAACGUAUUGCAUUAUCAACUUGAGGACUGUGGUUAUGAAUGUAAAGGCUUGGCAAGUGAACUUUGCGAAUGAACAUUAUCUCGUUGAAGUGUGUUGAUCAGGCUUCCAACUAAAGCCGUGAGUCUUUUAAUGACAUAUUCUAAAAUUUACUUUUUGAGUGUUUUAGUGUUUGCUGUAGCAAUAAGUACAAUAUCAUGGUAAAGAGCAUUAAUGUUGUAUUAACCAGUUUAAGUAAUUAGUUAUUUGAUUUUGUGCAUAAUAACUAUUUGAAAAAUGGAAUGAUUUAAUCCUUUUAGGUGUCUGAAGUGUGAAUUAUUCUAAUAUAAUUUAACAAUCAAAGUCUUAUAAAUGCUUUUGAUUGGUAUUUUAGUACUUGCAAUGUGGACAAACUGCCUAAAUAGUUUCAAAAAGAAUCGAUAAAAUAUUCAUACUACAAUUUAUUGAAAUGAAUAGCUCUAUUUCUUAAUUAAUCAGUUUUUAAUAUGUUUUGAAUAUUUUAUUUGUAUUAGUUUCCUUAGGGAAAAGAUGUGUGUGUAGUAUGGUUUUAGAAGCGGUGCCUAAUCCGGUAGAAAAAUAUGAGUUUGAGGAUGUGAUUUACAAUUAUCCUACGACUAUCCAGACCUGUGGAGUGCGUGUUGGAACCUAUAAACUGAUGUCGCGAAACCCAGGAAAUUACUACCAGCUAUUUAAUAAGAGGAUGAUGAGGUAUAGUAGAGAUGACAAUAUUUCAACUACCUACAUUCCGUAGAAUUUUGGUAUUAAUAUAAUUCUUUACAAUGUCUGUACUUGUAUUGGUUGUGCGUCUUGUUUUGCCACUUUUGUUAGGAUCAGAAACUUACCUACGAUUCAUGCUGCCUGCAUUCAUUUGAGGCAAUAAAUUCCUGCUGUAUCACUUUUUGAGGAAAUAAGAGAAAUAUUGGACCUUUUAUUCAAAGAUAACUAGAGGUAAAUGAUUUAUGUCACAGAACUUAUACAUAUAUGAAUUAGAAUAUAGAAAUUAAUAUUUUCACAAUGUAGUUGUUGGUUGUUCGUGUUGUUUUGUUAUUUGUCAGGAAUAGAUAUCUAACCGCGAUUUGUGGAGUUCCUGCCGUACCUACUUUAUAUUGAGCUUACUACACGAGGAAUUUAGAAAACGAUGGGGCCGAUAAUCGAGGUAGAAAUAUCGGAGGUAAAUGAUUUAUUCACAAGACUUAUAUAAUAGAGGUAUAAAAUAUAAGCACAUGUUUAUAUAAAUAUCAGAAUAGAAAUGUUUGGUAAUAAUAUUAAAACUACCAAUAAAAAGAUUUUAAAGUGUAUAUAUAUAUAUAUAUAUUUGAGAAUAAUCAAUGGAAAAAUUAUUGUGGAACUGGCAUCUCGUUGUUUGUUUCUUAGGUGUGGAGGUUGUAGUGUGAUUUAAAUGAACUGUCUGAUACUGCGAGAUUCAUAUGUAUGUGCCCAAGUGAUUUGAAAUUCAUAUGACACUGCAAGUUUUAAUUAACGGGUACGGAGAUUCUUGUAUCGUGCUUGUCGGAGCCCAACAUAAUCAGUUGUCAUGGAAUUGAGGAGGGUGCCAGCUAUAUAGAAAGAGGUACAAUUUAAUAAUUGUACUAUAAAUUAUUUGUUAGCUAUACAGUACUUACUAAUUAAUUCUUGUUUAACCUUUUAUUUGCAAAAAGUUUUUGUUUGUUGUGUGUCUUGGUUUGUUACUUGUCAGGAUUGGAUAUAUUACUGCCAACUGCGAAGGUAUGGGGAGUCACGACUGAAGGGAGUUCUUACUGUACUUUCUUUACUCCAGCCUAUUACGUGAGGAAUUAAGAAAAGUGUGGGAUCUUGUAAGCAAAGUAGUAUUACUGGAGGUAAAUUAUUUGUCACUAAACUUCUACAUAUAACGCAGAAUAUAGAAGUAUAAAAUAUUAGCACGUCACAGGUUCAGAUAAAAGUUUUAAAAAAUUAAACAUUAAAACUACCAAUACAUUUAUUUUAAAGCGCUAUUUAUUAUGACUUUAAUCAAUUGAUAAUUUGGAUUGGAAUUGGCAUCUCUCUCUUUGUUUCUUAGGAAUGGAGGGUUUAUAGUAUGGUUGAAAACGGCUGUGGGAGUCAUAAGUAUUGGCCCCAGUGACUGUGUAAAUCGAGUGGCAAGUCCUUAACGGCAUAUGUGGAUAAGGGGAUACUUGAUCAGUGGUUAUUUGAACUCUGCAAUUAAACGAUAUCACGAAAUCCUGGAGAUUACUGCUUCCUAUAUUAAAUGAGGUAAAUUACAGUUGAGACAAUAAUAGAAUUGAAAGUUUUACAUAGUUAAAAAUCCUUAUUAUUAGUCUUUGAAAAAUUCUUUAUUAGUCAGUAUUUAUUUAAUAUACAGUAUUAUUUAAAUUCAUCAACUUACGUCUGAAGUAAAAAAUGUAAAUUUUUGUUGUUGGUUGUGUGUCUUCUUUUGUUUUUUGUCAAGAUUUGGAGUACUAGUGCAUUAAUUACCUGGUCACUCGAAACAACGAGAUUCCCAGUCUGUGAUUGAGCCAACACGUGAUGGAUUAAGAUAUGAAUCUGAAGUCAUUUGAGGCAGCAGUGAGUUACUCGUAAGCAAUUUGUGGUUCAGCCGACAACUUGUUGUUUUAAGAUUUAUACAGAGCCUUCCAAGAGAUGAUGAUAAACAAUGAUAAUAAUUAAUUUCACGUAAUUCAUACAUAUAUGAUAAAAGAUAAUAUAAUUGGUAUACUUCAAGGACAUUAUUCUGUAAAAGGUAAUAGCAUUAUAUGUUUAAAGAGUAGUAUUUGUAUUUUAUAAUAUAUAAAAGUUUUGAUUAAAAAUGAAAUAACUGGUUCAUAAGAAAGAAUAUAGCUUAAACACUCUUCAUGAGUCUAUGGAAUUAUAAUAUUGUUAGAAUAUUUGUGUUGUUUCUUAUUCUUAGGACGAUGGAAUAUAAAGCAGACUUUGAUUUUAAUCCUGUAGAAACGUAUUGCAUUAUCAACUUGAGGACUGUGGUUAUGAAUGUAAAGGCUUGGCAAGUGAACUUUGCGAAUGAACAUUAUCUCGUUGAAGUGUGUUGAUCAGGCUUCCAACUAAAGCCGUGAGUCUUUUAAUGACAUAUUCUAAAAUUUACUUUUUGAGUGUUUUAGUGUUUGCUGUAGCAAUAAGUACAAUAUCAUGGUAAAGAGCAUUAAUGUUGUAUUAACCAGUUUAAGUAAUUAGUUAUUUGAUUUUGUGCAUAAUAACUAUUUGAAAAAUGGAAUGAUUUAAUCCUUUUAGGUGUCUGAAGUGUGAAUUAUUCUAAUAUAAUUUAACAAUCAAAGUCUUAUAAAUGCUUUUGAUUGGUAUUUUAGUACUUGCAAUGUGGACAAACUGCCUAAAUAGUUUCAAAAAGAAUCGAUAAAAUAUUCAUACUACAAUUUAUUGAAAUGAAUAGCUCUAUUUCUUAAUUAAUCAGUUUUUAAUAUGUUUUGAAUAUUUUAUUUGUAUUAGUUUCCUUAGGGAAAAGAUGUGUGUGUAGUAUGGUUUUAGAAGCGGUGCCUAAUCCGGUAGAAAAAUAUGAGUUUGAGGAUGUGAUUUACAAUUAUCCUACGACUAUCCAGACCUGUGGAGUGCGUGUUGGAACCUAUAAACUGAUGUCGCGAAACCCAGGAAAUUACUACCAGCUAUUUAAUAAGAGGAUGAUGAGGUAUAGUAGAGAUGACAAUAUUUCAACUACCUACAUUCCGUAGAAUUUUGGUAUUAAUAUAAUUCUUUACAAUGUCUGUACUUGUAUUGGUUGUGCGUCUUGUUUUGCCACUUUUGUUAGGAUCAGAAACUUACCUACGAUUCAUGCUGCCUGCAUUCAUUUGAGGCAAUAAAUUCCUGCUGUAUCACUUUUUGAGGAAAUAAGAGAAAUAUUGGACCUUUUAUUCAAAGAUAACUAGAGGUAAAUGAUUUAUGUCACAGAACUUAUACAUAUAUGAAUUAGAAUAUAGAAAUUAAUAUUUUCACAAUGUAGUUGUUGGUUGUUCGUGUUGUUUUGUUAUUUGUCAGGAAUAGAUAUCUAACCGCGAUUUGUGGAGUUCCUGCCGUACCUACUUUAUAUUGAGCUUACUACACGAGGAAUUUAGAAAACGAUGGGGCCGAUAAUCGAGGUAGAAAUAUCGGAGGUAAAUGAUUUAUUCACAAGACUUAUAUAAUAGAGGUAUAAAAUAUAAGCACAUGUUUAUAUAAAUAUCAGAAUAGAAAUGUUUGGUAAUAAUAUUAAAACUACCAAUAAAAAGAUUUUAAAGUGUAUAUAUAUAUAUAUAUAUAUAUAUUUGAGAAUAAUCAAUGGAAAAAUUAUUGUGGAACUGGCAUCUCGUUGUUUGUUUCUUAGGUGUGGAGGUUGUAGUGUGAUUUAAAUGAACUGUCUGAUACUGCGAGAUUCAUAUGUAUGUGCCCAAGUGAUUUGAAAUUCAUAUGACACUGCAAGUUUUAAUUAACGGGUACGGAGAUUCUUGUAUCGUGCUUGUCGGAGCCCAACAUAAUCAGUUGUCAUGGAAUUGAGGAGGGUGCCAGCUAUAUAGAAAGAGGUACAAUUUAAUAAUUGUACUAUAAAUUAUUUGUUAGCUAUACAGUACUUACUAAUUAAUUCUUGUUUAACCUUUUAUUUGCAAAAAGUUUUUGUUUGUUGUGUGUCUUGGUUUGUUACUUGUCAGGAUUGGAUAUAUUACUGCCAACUGCGAAGGUAUGGGGAGUCACGACUGAAGGGAGUUCUUACUGUACUUUCUUUACUCCAGCCUAUUACGUGAGGAAUUAAGAAAAGUGUGGGAUCUUGUAAGCAAAGUAGUAUUACUGGAGGUAAAUUAUUUGUCACUAAACUUCUACAUAUAACGCAGAAUAUAGAAGUAUAAAAUAUUAGCACGUCACAGGUUCAGAUAAAAGUUUAAAAAAUUAAACAUUAAAACUACCAAUACAUUUAUUUUAAAGCGCUAUUUAUUAUGACUUUAAUCAAUUGAUAAUUUGGAUUGGAAUUGGCAUCUCUCUCUUUGUUUCUUAGGAAUGGAGGGUUUAUAGUAUGGUUGAAAACGGCUGUGGGAGUCAUAAGUAUUGGCCCCAGUGACUGUGUAAAUCGAGUGGCAAGUCCUUAACGGCAUAUGUGGAUAAGGGGAUACUUGAUCAGUGGUUAUUUGAACUCUGCAAUUAAACGAUAUCACGAAAUCCUGGAGAUUACUGCUUCCUAUAUUAAAUGAGGUAAAUUACAGUUGAGACAAUAAUAGAAUUGAAAGUUUUACAUAGUUAAAAAUCCUUAUUAUUAGUCUUUGAAAAAUUCUUUAUUAGUCAGUAUUUAUUUAAUAUACAGUAUUAUUUAAAUUCAUCAACUUACGUCUGAAGUAAAAAAUGUAAAUUUUUGUUGUUGGUUGUGUGUCUUCUUUUGUUUUUUGUCAAGAUUUGGAGUACUAGUGCAUUAAUUACCUGGUCACUCGAAACAACGAGAUUCCCAGUCUGUGAUUGAGCCAACACGUGAUGGAUUAAGAUAUGAAUCUGAAGUCAUUUGAGGCAGCAGUGAGUUACUCGUAAGCAAUUUGUGGUUCAGCCGACAACUUGUUGUUUUAAGAUUUAUACAGAGCCUUCCAAGAGAUGAUGAUAAACAAUGAUAAUAAUUAAUUUCACGUAAUUCAUACAUAUAUGAUAAAAGAUAAUAUAAUUGGUAUACUUCAAGGACAUUAUUCUGUAAAAGGUAAUAGCAUUAUAUGUUUAAAGAGUAGUAUUUGUAUUUUAUAAUAUAUAAAAGUUUUGAUUAAAAAUGAAAUAACUGGUUCAUAAGAAAGAAUAUAGCUUAAACACUCUUCAUGAGUCUAUGGAAUUAUAAUAUUGUUAGAAUAUUUGUGUUGUUUCUUAUUCUUAGGACGAUGGAAUAUAAAGCAGACUUUGAUUUUAAUCCUGUAGAAACGUAUUGCAUUAUCAACUUGAGGACUGUGGUUAUGAAUGUAAAGGCUUGGCAAGUGAACUUUGCGAAUGAACAUUAUCUCGUUGAAGUGUGUUGAUCAGGCUUCCAACUAAAGCCGUGAGUCUUUUAAUGACAUAUUCUAAAAUUUACUUUUUGAGUGUUUUAGUGUUUGCUGUAGCAAUAAGUACAAUAUCAUGGUAAAGAGCAUUAAUGUUGUAUUAACCAGUUUAAGUAAUUAGUUAUUUGAUUUUGUGCAUAAUAACUAUUUGAAAAAUGGAAUGAUUUAAUCCUUUUAGGUGUCUGAAGUGUGAAUUAUUCUAAUAUAAUUUAACAAUCAAAGUCUUAUAAAUGCUUUUGAUUGGUAUUUUAGUACUUGCAAUGUGGACAAACUGCCUAAAUAGUUUCAAAAAGAAUCGAUAAAAUAUUCAUACUACAAUUUAUUGAAAUGAAUAGCUCUAUUUCUUAAUUAAUCAGUUUUUAAUAUGUUUUGAAUAUUUUAUUUGUAUUAGUUUCCUUAGGGAAAAGAUGUGUGUGUAGUAUGGUUUUAGAAGCGGUGCCUAAUCCGGUAGAAAAAUAUGAGUUUGAGGAUGUGAUUUACAAUUAUCCUACGACUAUCCAGACCUGUGGAGUGCGUGUUGGAACCUAUAAACUGAUGUCGCGAAACCCAGGAAAUUACUACCAGCUAUUUAAUAAGAGGAUGAUGAGGUAUAGUAGAGAUGACAAUAUUUCAACUACCUACAUUCCGUAGAAUUUUGGUAUUAAUAUAAUUCUUUACAAUGUCUGUACUUGUAUUGGUUGUGCGUCUUGUUUUGCCACUUUUGUUAGGAUCAGAAACUUACCUACGAUUCAUGCUGCCUGCAUUCAUUUGAGGCAAUAAAUUCCUGCUGUAUCACUUUUUGAGGAAAUAAGAGAAAUAUUGGACCUUUUAUUCAAAGAUAACUAGAGGUAAAUGAUUUAUGUCACAGAACUUAUACAUAUAUGAAUUAGAAUAUAGAAAUUAAUAUUUUCACAAUGUAGUUGUUGGUUGUUCGUGUUGUUUUGUUAUUUGUCAGGAAUAGAUAUCUAACCGCGAUUUGUGGAGUUCCUGCCGUACCUACUUUAUAUUGAGCUUACUACACGAGGAAUUUAGAAAACGAUGGGGCCGAUAAUCGAGGUAGAAAUAUCGGAGGUAAAUGAUUUAUUCACAAGACUUAUAUAAUAGAGGUAUAAAAUAUAAGCACAUGUUUAUAUAAAUAUCAGAAUAGAAAUGUUUGGUAAUAAUAUUAAAACUACCAAUAAAAAGAUUUUAAAGUGUAUAUAUAUAUAUAUAUAUAUAUUUGAGAAUAAUCAAUGGAAAAAUUAUUGUGGAACUGGCAUCUCGUUGUUUGUUUCUUAGGUGUGGAGGUUGUAGUGUGAUUUAAAUGAACUGUCUGAUACUGCGAGAUUCAUAUGUAUGUGCCCAAGUGAUUUGAAAUUCAUAUGACACUGCAAGUUUUAAUUAACGGGUACGGAGAUUCUUGUAUCGUGCUUGUCGGAGCCCAACAUAAUCAGUUGUCAUGGAAUUGAGGAGGGUGCCAGCUAUAUAGAAAGAGGUACAAUUUAAUAAUUGUACUAUAAAUUAUUUGUUAGCUAUACAGUACUUACUAAUUAAUUCUUGUUUAACCUUUUAUUUGCAAAAAGUUUUUGUUUGUUGUGUGUCUUGGUUUGUUACUUGUCAGGAUUGGAUAUAUUACUGCCAACUGCGAAGGUAUGGGGAGUCACGACUGAAGGGAGUUCUUACUGUACUUUCUUUACUCCAGCCUAUUACGUGAGGAAUUAAGAAAAGUGUGGGAUCUUGUAAGCAAAGUAGUAUUACUGGAGGUAAAUUAUUUGUCACUAAACUUCUACAUAUAACGCAGAAUAUAGAAGUAUAAAAUAUUAGCACGUCACAGGUUCAGAUAAAAGUUUAAAAAAAUUAAACAUUAAAACUACCAAUACAUUUAUUUUAAAGCGCUAUUUAUUAUGACUUUAAUCAAUUGAUAAUUUGGAUUGGAAUUGGCAUCUCUCUCUUUGUUUCUUAGGAAUGGAGGGUUUAUAGUAUGGUUGAAAACGGCUGUGGGAGUCAUAAGUAUUGGCCCCAGUGACUGUGUAAAUCGAGUGGCAAGUCCUUAACGGCAUAUGUGGAUAAGGGGAUACUUGAUCAGUGGUUAUUUGAACUCUGCAAUUAAACGAUAUCACGAAAUCCUGGAGAUUACUGCUUCCUAUAUUAAAUGAGGUAAAUUACAGUUGAGACAAUAAUAGAAUUGAAAGUUUUACAUAGUUAAAAAUCCUUAUUAUUAGUCUUUGAAAAAUUCUUUAUUAGUCAGUAUUUAUUUAAUAUACAGUAUUAUUUAAAUUCAUCAACUUACGUCUGAAGUAAAAAAUGUAAAUUUUUGUUGUUGGUUGUGUGUCUUCUUUUGUUUUUUGUCAAGAUUUGGAGUACUAGUGCAUUAAUUACCUGGUCACUCGAAACAACGAGAUUCCCAGUCUGUGAUUGAGCCAACACGUGAUGGAUUAAGAUAUGAAUCUGAAGUCAUUUGAGGCAGCAGUGAGUUACUCGUAAGCAAUUUGUGGUUCAGCCGACAACUUGUUGUUUUAAGAUUUAUACAGAGCCUUCCAAGAGAUGAUGAUAAACAAUGAUAAUAAUUAAUUUCACGUAAUUCAUACAUAUAUGAUAAAAGAUAAUAUAAUUGGUAUACUUCAAGGACAUUAUUCUGUAAAAGGUAAUAGCAUUAUAUGUUUAAAGAGUAGUAUUUGUAUUUUAUAAUAUAUAAAAGUUUUGAUUAAAAAUGAAAUAACUGGUUCAUAAGAAAGAAUAUAGCUUAAACACUCUUCAUGAGUCUAUGGAAUUAUAAUAUUGUUAGAAUAUUUGUGUUGUUUCUUAUUCUUAGGACGAUGGAAUAUAAAGCAGACUUUGAUUUUAAUCCUGUAGAAACGUAUUGCAUUAUCAACUUGAGGACUGUGGUUAUGAAUGUAAAGGCUUGGCAAGUGAACUUUGCGAAUGAACAUUAUCUCGUUGAAGUGUGUUGAUCAGGCUUCCAACUAAAGCCGUGAGUCUUUUAAUGACAUAUUCUAAAAUUUACUUUUUGAGUGUUUUAGUGUUUGCUGUAGCAAUAAGUACAAUAUCAUGGUAAAGAGCAUUAAUGUUGUAUUAACCAGUUUAAGUAAUUAGUUAUUUGAUUUUGUGCAUAAUAACUAUUUGAAAAAUGGAAUGAUUUAAUCCUUUUAGGUGUCUGAAGUGUGAAUUAUUCUAAUAUAAUUUAACAAUCAAAGUCUUAUAAAUGCUUUUGAUUGGUAUUUUAGUACUUGCAAUGUGGACAAACUGCCUAAAUAGUUUCAAAAAGAAUCGAUAAAAUAUUCAUACUACAAUUUAUUGAAAUGAAUAGCUCUAUUUCUUAAUUAAUCAGUUUUUAAUAUGUUUUGAAUAUUUUAUUUGUAUUAGUUUCCUUAGGGAAAAGAUGUGUGUGUAGUAUGGUUUUAGAAGCGGUGCCUAAUCCGGUAGAAAAAUAUGAGUUUGAGGAUGUGAUUUACAAUUAUCCUACGACUAUCCAGACCUGUGGAGUGCGUGUUGGAACCUAUAAACUGAUGUCGCGAAACCCAGGAAAUUACUACCAGCUAUUUAAUAAGAGGAUGAUGAGGUAUAGUAGAGAUGACAAUAUUUCAACUACCUACAUUCCGUAGAAUUUUGGUAUUAAUAUAAUUCUUUACAAUGUCUGUACUUGUAUUGGUUGUGCGUCUUGUUUUGCCACUUUUGUUAGGAUCAGAAACUUACCUACGAUUCAUGCUGCCUGCAUUCAUUUGAGGCAAUAAAUUCCUGCUGUAUCACUUUUUGAGGAAAUAAGAGAAAUAUUGGACCUUUUAUUCAAAGAUAACUAGAGGUAAAUGAUUUAUGUCACAGAACUUAUACAUAUAUGAAUUAGAAUAUAGAAAUUAAUAUUUUCACAAUGUAGUUGUUGGUUGUUCGUGUUGUUUUGUUAUUUGUCAGGAAUAGAUAUCUAACCGCGAUUUGUGGAGUUCCUGCCGUACCUACUUUAUAUUGAGCUUACUACACGAGGAAUUUAGAAAACGAUGGGGCCGAUAAUCGAGGUAGAAAUAUCGGAGGUAAAUGAUUUAUUCACAAGACUUAUAUAAUAGAGGUAUAAAAUAUAAGCACAUGUUUAUAUAAAUAUCAGAAUAGAAAUGUUUGGUAAUAAUAUUAAAACUACCAAUAAAAAGAUUUUAAAGUGUAUAUAUAUAUAUAUAUAUAUUUGAGAAUAAUCAAUGGAAAAAUUAUUGUGGAACUGGCAUCUCGUUGUUUGUUUCUUAGGUGUGGAGGUUGUAGUGUGAUUUAAAUGAACUGUCUGAUACUGCGAGAUUCAUAUGUAUGUGCCCAAGUGAUUUGAAAUUCAUAUGACACUGCAAGUUUUAAUUAACGGGUACGGAGAUUCUUGUAUCGUGCUUGUCGGAGCCCAACAUAAUCAGUUGUCAUGGAAUUGAGGAGGGUGCCAGCUAUAUAGAAAGAGGUACAAUUUAAUAAUUGUACUAUAAAUUAUUUGUUAGCUAUACAGUACUUACUAAUUAAUUCUUGUUUAACCUUUUAUUUGCAAAAAGUUUUUGUUUGUUGUGUGUCUUGGUUUGUUACUUGUCAGGAUUGGAUAUAUUACUGCCAACUGCGAAGGUAUGGGGAGUCACGACUGAAGGGAGUUCUUACUGUACUUUCUUUACUCCAGCCUAUUACGUGAGGAAUUAAGAAAAGUGUGGGAUCUUGUAAGCAAAGUAGUAUUACUGGAGGUAAAUUAUUUGUCACUAAACUUCUACAUAUAACGCAGAAUAUAGAAGUAUAAAAUAUUAGCACGUCACAGGUUCAGAUAAAAGUUUAAAAAAUUAAACAUUAAAACUACCAAUACAUUUAUUUUAAAGCGCUAUUUAUUAUGACUUUAAUCAAUUGAUAAUUUGGAUUGGAAUUGGCAUCUCUCUCUUUGUUUCUUAGGAAUGGAGGGUUUAUAGUAUGGUUGAAAACGGCUGUGGGAGUCAUAAGUAUUGGCCCCAGUGACUGUGUAAAUCGAGUGGCAAGUCCUUAACGGCAUAUGUGGAUAAGGGGAUACUUGAUCAGUGGUUAUUUGAACUCUGCAAUUAAACGAUAUCACGAAAUCCUGGAGAUUACUGCUUCCUAUAUUAAAUGAGGUAAAUUACAGUUGAGACAAUAAUAGAAUUGAAAGUUUUACAUAGUUAAAAAUCCUUAUUAUUAGUCUUUGAAAAAUUCUUUAUUAGUCAGUAUUUAUUUAAUAUACAGUAUUAUUUAAAUUCAUCAACUUACGUCUGAAGUAAAAAAUGUAAAUUUUUGUUGUUGGUUGUGUGUCUUCUUUUGUUUUUUGUCAAGAUUUGGAGUACUAGUGCAUUAAUUACCUGGUCACUCGAAACAACGAGAUUCCCAGUCUGUGAUUGAGCCAACACGUGAUGGAUUAAGAUAUGAAUCUGAAGUCAUUUGAGGCAGCAGUGAGUUACUCGUAAGCAAUUUGUGGUUCAGCCGACAACUUGUUGUUUUAAGAUUUAUACAGAGCCUUCCAAGAGAUGAUGAUAAACAAUGAUAAUAAUUAAUUUCACGUAAUUCAUACAUAUAUGAUAAAAGAUAAUAUAAUUGGUAUACUUCAAGGACAUUAUUCUGUAAAAGGUAAUAGCAUUAUAUGUUUAAAGAGUAGUAUUUGUAUUUUAUAAUAUAUAAAAGUUUUGAUUAAAAAUGAAAUAACUGGUUCAUAAGAAAGAAUAUAGCUUAAACACUCUUCAUGAGUCUAUGGAAUUAUAAUAUUGUUAGAAUAUUUGUGUUGUUUCUUAUUCUUAGGACGAUGGAAUAUAAAGCAGACUUUGAUUUUAAUCCUGUAGAAACGUAUUGCAUUAUCAACUUGAGGACUGUGGUUAUGAAUGUAAAGGCUUGGCAAGUGAACUUUGCGAAUGAACAUUAUCUCGUUGAAGUGUGUUGAUCAGGCUUCCAACUAAAGCCGUGAGUCUUUUAAUGACAUAUUCUAAAAUUUACUUUUUGAGUGUUUUAGUGUUUGCUGUAGCAAUAAGUACAAUAUCAUGGUAAAGAGCAUUAAUGUUGUAUUAACCAGUUUAAGUAAUUAGUUAUUUGAUUUUGUGCAUAAUAACUAUUUGAAAAAUGGAAUGAUUUAAUCCUUUUAGGUGUCUGAAGUGUGAAUUAUUCUAAUAUAAUUUAACAAUCAAAGUCUUAUAAAUGCUUUUGAUUGGUAUUUUAGUACUUGCAAUGUGGACAAACUGCCUAAAUAGUUUCAAAAAGAAUCGAUAAAAUAUUCAUACUACAAUUUAUUGAAAUGAAUAGCUCUAUUUCUUAAUUAAUCAGUUUUUAAUAUGUUUUGAAUAUUUUAUUUGUAUUAGUUUCCUUAGGGAAAAGAUGUGUGUGUAGUAUGGUUUUAGAAGCGGUGCCUAAUCCGGUAGAAAAAUAUGAGUUUGAGGAUGUGAUUUACAAUUAUCCUACGACUAUCCAGACCUGUGGAGUGCGUGUUGGAACCUAUAAACUGAUGUCGCGAAACCCAGGAAAUUACUACCAGCUAUUUAAUAAGAGGAUGAUGAGGUAUAGUAGAGAUGACAAUAUUUCAACUACCUACAUUCCGUAGAAUUUUGGUAUUAAUAUAAUUCUUUACAAUGUCUGUACUUGUAUUGGUUGUGCGUCUUGUUUUGCCACUUUUGUUAGGAUCAGAAACUUACCUACGAUUCAUGCUGCCUGCAUUCAUUUGAGGCAAUAAAUUCCUGCUGUAUCACUUUUUGAGGAAAUAAGAGAAAUAUUGGACCUUUUAUUCAAAGAUAACUAGAGGUAAAUGAUUUAUGUCACAGAACUUAUACAUAUAUGAAUUAGAAUAUAGAAAUUAAUAUUUUCACAAUGUAGUUGUUGGUUGUUCGUGUUGUUUUGUUAUUUGUCAGGAAUAGAUAUCUAACCGCGAUUUGUGGAGUUCCUGCCGUACCUACUUUAUAUUGAGCUUACUACACGAGGAAUUUAGAAAACGAUGGGGCCGAUAAUCGAGGUAGAAAUAUCGGAGGUAAAUGAUUUAUUCACAAGACUUAUAUAAUAGAGGUAUAAAAUAUAAGCACAUGUUUAUAUAAAUAUCAGAAUAGAAAUGUUUGGUAAUAAUAUUAAAACUACCAAUAAAAAGAUUUUAAAGUGUAUAUAUAUAUAUAUAUUUGAGAAUAAUCAAUGGAAAAAUUAUUGUGGAACUGGCAUCUCGUUGUUUGUUUCUUAGGUGUGGAGGUUGUAGUGUGAUUUAAAUGAACUGUCUGAUACUGCGAGAUUCAUAUGUAUGUGCCCAAGUGAUUUGAAAUUCAUAUGACACUGCAAGUUUUAAUUAACGGGUACGGAGAUUCUUGUAUCGUGCUUGUCGGAGCCCAACAUAAUCAGUUGUCAUGGAAUUGAGGAGGGUGCCAGCUAUAUAGAAAGAGGUACAAUUUAAUAAUUGUACUAUAAAUUAUUUGUUAGCUAUACAGUACUUACUAAUUAAUUCUUGUUUAACCUUUUAUUUGCAAAAAGUUUUUGUUUGUUGUGUGUCUUGGUUUGUUACUUGUCAGGAUUGGAUAUAUUACUGCCAACUGCGAAGGUAUGGGGAGUCACGACUGAAGGGAGUUCUUACUGUACUUUCUUUACUCCAGCCUAUUACGUGAGGAAUUAAGAAAAGUGUGGGAUCUUGUAAGCAAAGUAGUAUUACUGGAGGUAAAUUAUUUGUCACUAAACUUCUACAUAUAACGCAGAAUAUAGAAGUAUAAAAUAUUAGCACGUCACAGGUUCAGAUAAAAGUUUAAAAAAUUAAACAUUAAAACUACCAAUACAUUUAUUUUAAAGCGCUAUUUAUUAUGACUUUAAUCAAUUGAUAAUUUGGAUUGGAAUUGGCAUCUCUCUCUUUGUUUCUUAGGAAUGGAGGGUUUAUAGUAUGGUUGAAAACGGCUGUGGGAGUCAUAAGUAUUGGCCCCAGUGACUGUGUAAAUCGAGUGGCAAGUCCUUAACGGCAUAUGUGGAUAAGGGGAUACUUGAUCAGUGGUUAUUUGAACUCUGCAAUUAAACGAUAUCACGAAAUCCUGGAGAUUACUGCUUCCUAUAUUAAAUGAGGUAAAUUACAGUUGAGACAAUAAUAGAAUUGAAAGUUUUACAUAGUUAAAAAUCCUUAUUAUUAGUCUUUGAAAAAUUCUUUAUUAGUCAGUAUUUAUUUAAUAUACAGUAUUAUUUAAAUUCAUCAACUUACGUCUGAAGUAAAAAAUGUAAAUUUUUGUUGUUGGUUGUGUGUCUUCUUUUGUUUUUUGUCAAGAUUUGGAGUACUAGUGCAUUAAUUACCUGGUCACUCGAAACAACGAGAUUCCCAGUCUGUGAUUGAGCCAACACGUGAUGGAUUAAGAUAUGAAUCUGAAGUCAUUUGAGGCAGCAGUGAGUUACUCGUAAGCAAUUUGUGGUUCAGCCGACAACUUGUUGUUUUAAGAUUUAUACAGAGCCUUCCAAGAGAUGAUGAUAAACAAUGAUAAUAAUUAAUUUCACGUAAUUCAUACAUAUAUGAUAAAAGAUAAUAUAAUUGGUAUACUUCAAGGACAUUAUUCUGUAAAAGGUAAUAGCAUUAUAUGUUUAAAGAGUAGUAUUUGUAUUUUAUAAUAUAUAAAAGUUUUGAUUAAAAAUGAAAUAACUGGUUCAUAAGAAAGAAUAUAGCUUAAACACUCUUCAUGAGUCUAUGGAAUUAUAAUAUUGUUAGAAUAUUUGUGUUGUUUCUUAUUCUUAGGACGAUGGAAUAUAAAGCAGACUUUGAUUUUAAUCCUGUAGAAACGUAUUGCAUUAUCAACUUGAGGACUGUGGUUAUGAAUGUAAAGGCUUGGCAAGUGAACUUUGCGAAUGAACAUUAUCUCGUUGAAGUGUGUUGAUCAGGCUUCCAACUAAAGCCGUGAGUCUUUUAAUGACAUAUUCUAAAAUUUACUUUUUGAGUGUUUUAGUGUUUGCUGUAGCAAUAAGUACAAUAUCAUGGUAAAGAGCAUUAAUGUUGUAUUAACCAGUUUAAGUAAUUAGUUAUUUGAUUUUGUGCAUAAUAACUAUUUGAAAAAUGGAAUGAUUUAAUCCUUUUAGGUGUCUGAAGUGUGAAUUAUUCUAAUAUAAUUUAACAAUCAAAGUCUUAUAAAUGCUUUUGAUUGGUAUUUUAGUACUUGCAAUGUGGACAAACUGCCUAAAUAGUUUCAAAAAGAAUCGAUAAAAUAUUCAUACUACAAUUUAUUGAAAUGAAUAGCUCUAUUUCUUAAUUAAUCAGUUUUUAAUAUGUUUUGAAUAUUUUAUUUGUAUUAGUUUCCUUAGGGAAAAGAUGUGUGUGUAGUAUGGUUUUAGAAGCGGUGCCUAAUCCGGUAGAAAAAUAUGAGUUUGAGGAUGUGAUUUACAAUUAUCCUACGACUAUCCAGACCUGUGGAGUGCGUGUUGGAACCUAUAAACUGAUGUCGCGAAACCCAGGAAAUUACUACCAGCUAUUUAAUAAGAGGAUGAUGAGGUAUAGUAGAGAUGACAAUAUUUCAACUACCUACAUUCCGUAGAAUUUUGGUAUUAAUAUAAUUCUUUACAAUGUCUGUACUUGUAUUGGUUGUGCGUCUUGUUUUGCCACUUUUGUUAGGAUCAGAAACUUACCUACGAUUCAUGCUGCCUGCAUUCAUUUGAGGCAAUAAAUUCCUGCUGUAUCACUUUUUGAGGAAAUAAGAGAAAUAUUGGACCUUUUAUUCAAAGAUAACUAGAGGUAAAUGAUUUAUGUCACAGAACUUAUACAUAUAUGAAUUAGAAUAUAGAAAUUAAUAUUUUCACAAUGUAGUUGUUGGUUGUUCGUGUUGUUUUGUUAUUUGUCAGGAAUAGAUAUCUAACCGCGAUUUGUGGAGUUCCUGCCGUACCUACUUUAUAUUGAGCUUACUACACGAGGAAUUUAGAAAACGAUGGGGCCGAUAAUCGAGGUAGAAAUAUCGGAGGUAAAUGAUUUAUUCACAAGACUUAUAUAAUAGAGGUAUAAAAUAUAAGCACAUGUUUAUAUAAAUAUCAGAAUAGAAAUGUUUGGUAAUAAUAUUAAAACUACCAAUAAAAAGAUUUUAAAGUGUAUAUAUAUAUAUAUUUGAGAAUAAUCAAUGGAAAAAUUAUUGUGGAACUGGCAUCUCGUUGUUUGUUUCUUAGGUGUGGAGGUUGUAGUGUGAUUUAAAUGAACUGUCUGAUACUGCGAGAUUCAUAUGUAUGUGCCCAAGUGAUUUGAAAUUCAUAUGACACUGCAAGUUUUAAUUAACGGGUACGGAGAUUCUUGUAUCGUGCUUGUCGGAGCCCAACAUAAUCAGUUGUCAUGGAAUUGAGGAGGGUGCCAGCUAUAUAGAAAGAGGUACAAUUUAAUAAUUGUACUAUAAAUUAUUUGUUAGCUAUACAGUACUUACUAAUUAAUUCUUGUUUAACCUUUUAUUUGCAAAAAGUUUUUGUUUGUUGUGUGUCUUGGUUUGUUACUUGUCAGGAUUGGAUAUAUUACUGCCAACUGCGAAGGUAUGGGGAGUCACGACUGAAGGGAGUUCUUACUGUACUUUCUUUACUCCAGCCUAUUACGUGAGGAAUUAAGAAAAGUGUGGGAUCUUGUAAGCAAAGUAGUAUUACUGGAGGUAAAUUAUUUGUCACUAAACUUCUACAUAUAACGCAGAAUAUAGAAGUAUAAAAUAUUAGCACGUCACAGGUUCAGAUAAAAGUUUAAAAAAAUUAAACAUUAAAACUACCAAUACAUUUAUUUUAAAGCGCUAUUUAUUAUGACUUUAAUCAAUUGAUAAUUUGGAUUGGAAUUGGCAUCUCUCUCUUUGUUUCUUAGGAAUGGAGGGUUUAUAGUAUGGUUGAAAACGGCUGUGGGAGUCAUAAGUAUUGGCCCCAGUGACUGUGUAAAUCGAGUGGCAAGUCCUUAACGGCAUAUGUGGAUAAGGGGAUACUUGAUCAGUGGUUAUUUGAACUCUGCAAUUAAACGAUAUCACGAAAUCCUGGAGAUUACUGCUUCCUAUAUUAAAUGAGGUAAAUUACAGUUGAGACAAUAAUAGAAUUGAAAGUUUUACAUAGUUAAAAAUCCUUAUUAUUAGUCUUUGAAAAAUUCUUUAUUAGUCAGUAUUUAUUUAAUAUACAGUAUUAUUUAAAUUCAUCAACUUACGUCUGAAGUAAAAAAUGUAAAUUUUUGUUGUUGGUUGUGUGUCUUCUUUUGUUUUUUGUCAAGAUUUGGAGUACUAGUGCAUUAAUUACCUGGUCACUCGAAACAACGAGAUUCCCAGUCUGUGAUUGAGCCAACACGUGAUGGAUUAAGAUAUGAAUCUGAAGUCAUUUGAGGCAGCAGUGAGUUACUCGUAAGCAAUUUGUGGUUCAGCCGACAACUUGUUGUUUUAAGAUUUAUACAGAGCCUUCCAAGAGAUGAUGAUAAACAAUGAUAAUAAUUAAUUUCACGUAAUUCAUACAUAUAUGAUAAAAGAUAAUAUAAUUGGUAUACUUCAAGGACAUUAUUCUGUAAAAGGUAAUAGCAUUAUAUGUUUAAAGAGUAGUAUUUGUAUUUUAUAAUAUAUAAAAGUUUUGAUUAAAAAUGAAAUAACUGGUUCAUAAGAAAGAAUAUAGCUUAAACACUCUUCAUGAGUCUAUGGAAUUAUAAUAUUGUUAGAAUAUUUGUGUUGUUUCUUAUUCUUAGGACGAUGGAAUAUAAAGCAGACUUUGAUUUUAAUCCUGUAGAAACGUAUUGCAUUAUCAACUUGAGGACUGUGGUUAUGAAUGUAAAGGCUUGGCAAGUGAACUUUGCGAAUGAACAUUAUCUCGUUGAAGUGUGUUGAUCAGGCUUCCAACUAAAGCCGUGAGUCUUUUAAUGACAUAUUCUAAAAUUUACUUUUUGAGUGUUUUAGUGUUUGCUGUAGCAAUAAGUACAAUAUCAUGGUAAAGAGCAUUAAUGUUGUAUUAACCAGUUUAAGUAAUUAGUUAUUUGAUUUUGUGCAUAAUAACUAUUUGAAAAAUGGAAUGAUUUAAUCCUUUUAGGUGUCUGAAGUGUGAAUUAUUCUAAUAUAAUUUAACAAUCAAAGUCUUAUAAAUGCUUUUGAUUGGUAUUUUAGUACUUGCAAUGUGGACAAACUGCCUAAAUAGUUUCAAAAAGAAUCGAUAAAAUAUUCAUACUACAAUUUAUUGAAAUGAAUAGCUCUAUUUCUUAAUUAAUCAGUUUUUAAUAUGUUUUGAAUAUUUUAUUUGUAUUAGUUUCCUUAGGGAAAAGAUGUGUGUGUAGUAUGGUUUUAGAAGCGGUGCCUAAUCCGGUAGAAAAAUAUGAGUUUGAGGAUGUGAUUUACAAUUAUCCUACGACUAUCCAGACCUGUGGAGUGCGUGUUGGAACCUAUAAACUGAUGUCGCGAAACCCAGGAAAUUACUACCAGCUAUUUAAUAAGAGGAUGAUGAGGUAUAGUAGAGAUGACAAUAUUUCAACUACCUACAUUCCGUAGAAUUUUGGUAUUAAUAUAAUUCUUUACAAUGUCUGUACUUGUAUUGGUUGUGCGUCUUGUUUUGCCACUUUUGUUAGGAUCAGAAACUUACCUACGAUUCAUGCUGCCUGCAUUCAUUUGAGGCAAUAAAUUCCUGCUGUAUCACUUUUUGAGGAAAUAAGAGAAAUAUUGGACCUUUUAUUCAAAGAUAACUAGAGGUAAAUGAUUUAUGUCACAGAACUUAUACAUAUAUGAAUUAGAAUAUAGAAAUUAAUAUUUUCACAAUGUAGUUGUUGGUUGUUCGUGUUGUUUUGUUAUUUGUCAGGAAUAGAUAUCUAACCGCGAUUUGUGGAGUUCCUGCCGUACCUACUUUAUAUUGAGCUUACUACACGAGGAAUUUAGAAAACGAUGGGGCCGAUAAUCGAGGUAGAAAUAUCGGAGGUAAAUGAUUUAUUCACAAGACUUAUAUAAUAGAGGUAUAAAAUAUAAGCACAUGUUUAUAUAAAUAUCAGAAUAGAAAUGUUUGGUAAUAAUAUUAAAACUACCAAUAAAAAGAUUUUAAAGUGUAUAUAUAUAUAUAUAUAUUUGAGAAUAAUCAAUGGAAAAAUUAUUGUGGAACUGGCAUCUCGUUGUUUGUUUCUUAGGUGUGGAGGUUGUAGUGUGAUUUAAAUGAACUGUCUGAUACUGCGAGAUUCAUAUGUAUGUGCCCAAGUGAUUUGAAAUUCAUAUGACACUGCAAGUUUUAAUUAACGGGUACGGAGAUUCUUGUAUCGUGCUUGUCGGAGCCCAACAUAAUCAGUUGUCAUGGAAUUGAGGAGGGUGCCAGCUAUAUAGAAAGAGGUACAAUUUAAUAAUUGUACUAUAAAUUAUUUGUUAGCUAUACAGUACUUACUAAUUAAUUCUUGUUUAACCUUUUAUUUGCAAAAAGUUUUUGUUUGUUGUGUGUCUUGGUUUGUUACUUGUCAGGAUUGGAUAUAUUACUGCCAACUGCGAAGGUAUGGGGAGUCACGACUGAAGGGAGUUCUUACUGUACUUUCUUUACUCCAGCCUAUUACGUGAGGAAUUAAGAAAAGUGUGGGAUCUUGUAAGCAAAGUAGUAUUACUGGAGGUAAAUUAUUUGUCACUAAACUUCUACAUAUAACGCAGAAUAUAGAAGUAUAAAAUAUUAGCACGUCACAGGUUCAGAUAAAAGUUUAAAAAAUUAAACAUUAAAACUACCAAUACAUUUAUUUUAAAGCGCUAUUUAUUAUGACUUUAAUCAAUUGAUAAUUUGGAUUGGAAUUGGCAUCUCUCUCUUUGUUUCUUAGGAAUGGAGGGUUUAUAGUAUGGUUGAAAACGGCUGUGGGAGUCAUAAGUAUUGGCCCCAGUGACUGUGUAAAUCGAGUGGCAAGUCCUUAACGGCAUAUGUGGAUAAGGGGAUACUUGAUCAGUGGUUAUUUGAACUCUGCAAUUAAACGAUAUCACGAAAUCCUGGAGAUUACUGCUUCCUAUAUUAAAUGAGGUAAAUUACAGUUGAGACAAUAAUAGAAUUGAAAGUUUUACAUAGUUAAAAAUCCUUAUUAUUAGUCUUUGAAAAAUUCUUUAUUAGUCAGUAUUUAUUUAAUAUACAGUAUUAUUUAAAUUCAUCAACUUACGUCUGAAGUAAAAAAUGUAAAUUUUUGUUGUUGGUUGUGUGUCUUCUUUUGUUUUUUGUCAAGAUUUGGAGUACUAGUGCAUUAAUUACCUGGUCACUCGAAACAACGAGAUUCCCAGUCUGUGAUUGAGCCAACACGUGAUGGAUUAAGAUAUGAAUCUGAAGUCAUUUGAGGCAGCAGUGAGUUACUCGUAAGCAAUUUGUGGUUCAGCCGACAACUUGUUGUUUUAAGAUUUAUACAGAGCCUUCCAAGAGAUGAUGAUAAACAAUGAUAAUAAUUAAUUUCACGUAAUUCAUACAUAUAUGAUAAAAGAUAAUAUAAUUGGUAUACUUCAAGGACAUUAUUCUGUAAAAGGUAAUAGCAUUAUAUGUUUAAAGAGUAGUAUUUGUAUUUUAUAAUAUAUAAAAGUUUUGAUUAAAAAUGAAAUAACUGGUUCAUAAGAAAGAAUAUAGCUUAAACACUCUUCAUGAGUCUAUGGAAUUAUAAUAUUGUUAGAAUAUUUGUGUUGUUUCUUAUUCUUAGGACGAUGGAAUAUAAAGCAGACUUUGAUUUUAAUCCUGUAGAAACGUAUUGCAUUAUCAACUUGAGGACUGUGGUUAUGAAUGUAAAGGCUUGGCAAGUGAACUUUGCGAAUGAACAUUAUCUCGUUGAAGUGUGUUGAUCAGGCUUCCAACUAAAGCCGUGAGUCUUUUAAUGACAUAUUCUAAAAUUUACUUUUUGAGUGUUUUAGUGUUUGCUGUAGCAAUAAGUACAAUAUCAUGGUAAAGAGCAUUAAUGUUGUAUUAACCAGUUUAAGUAAUUAGUUAUUUGAUUUUGUGCAUAAUAACUAUUUGAAAAAUGGAAUGAUUUAAUCCUUUUAGGUGUCUGAAGUGUGAAUUAUUCUAAUAUAAUUUAACAAUCAAAGUCUUAUAAAUGCUUUUGAUUGGUAUUUUAGUACUUGCAAUGUGGACAAACUGCCUAAAUAGUUUCAAAAAGAAUCGAUAAAAUAUUCAUACUACAAUUUAUUGAAAUGAAUAGCUCUAUUUCUUAAUUAAUCAGUUUUUAAUAUGUUUUGAAUAUUUUAUUUGUAUUAGUUUCCUUAGGGAAAAGAUGUGUGUGUAGUAUGGUUUUAGAAGCGGUGCCUAAUCCGGUAGAAAAAUAUGAGUUUGAGGAUGUGAUUUACAAUUAUCCUACGACUAUCCAGACCUGUGGAGUGCGUGUUGGAACCUAUAAACUGAUGUCGCGAAACCCAGGAAAUUACUACCAGCUAUUUAAUAAGAGGAUGAUGAGGUAUAGUAGAGAUGACAAUAUUUCAACUACCUACAUUCCGUAGAAUUUUGGUAUUAAUAUAAUUCUUUACAAUGUCUGUACUUGUAUUGGUUGUGCGUCUUGUUUUGCCACUUUUGUUAGGAUCAGAAACUUACCUACGAUUCAUGCUGCCUGCAUUCAUUUGAGGCAAUAAAUUCCUGCUGUAUCACUUUUUGAGGAAAUAAGAGAAAUAUUGGACCUUUUAUUCAAAGAUAACUAGAGGUAAAUGAUUUAUGUCACAGAACUUAUACAUAUAUGAAUUAGAAUAUAGAAAUUAAUAUUUUCACAAUGUAGUUGUUGGUUGUUCGUGUUGUUUUGUUAUUUGUCAGGAAUAGAUAUCUAACCGCGAUUUGUGGAGUUCCUGCCGUACCUACUUUAUAUUGAGCUUACUACACGAGGAAUUUAGAAAACGAUGGGGCCGAUAAUCGAGGUAGAAAUAUCGGAGGUAAAUGAUUUAUUCACAAGACUUAUAUAAUAGAGGUAUAAAAUAUAAGCACAUGUUUAUAUAAAUAUCAGAAUAGAAAUGUUUGGUAAUAAUAUUAAAACUACCAAUAAAAAGAUUUUAAAGUGUAUAUAUAUAUAUAUAUAUUUGAGAAUAAUCAAUGGAAAAAUUAUUGUGGAACUGGCAUCUCGUUGUUUGUUUCUUAGGUGUGGAGGUUGUAGUGUGAUUUAAAUGAACUGUCUGAUACUGCGAGAUUCAUAUGUAUGUGCCCAAGUGAUUUGAAAUUCAUAUGACACUGCAAGUUUUAAUUAACGGGUACGGAGAUUCUUGUAUCGUGCUUGUCGGAGCCCAACAUAAUCAGUUGUCAUGGAAUUGAGGAGGGUGCCAGCUAUAUAGAAAGAGGUACAAUUUAAUAAUUGUACUAUAAAUUAUUUGUUAGCUAUACAGUACUUACUAAUUAAUUCUUGUUUAACCUUUUAUUUGCAAAAAGUUUUUGUUUGUUGUGUGUCUUGGUUUGUUACUUGUCAGGAUUGGAUAUAUUACUGCCAACUGCGAAGGUAUGGGGAGUCACGACUGAAGGGAGUUCUUACUGUACUUUCUUUACUCCAGCCUAUUACGUGAGGAAUUAAGAAAAGUGUGGGAUCUUGUAAGCAAAGUAGUAUUACUGGAGGUAAAUUAUUUGUCACUAAACUUCUACAUAUAACGCAGAAUAUAGAAGUAUAAAAUAUUAGCACGUCACAGGUUCAGAUAAAAGUUUAAAAAAUUAAACAUUAAAACUACCAAUACAUUUAUUUUAAAGCGCUAUUUAUUAUGACUUUAAUCAAUUGAUAAUUUGGAUUGGAAUUGGCAUCUCUCUCUUUGUUUCUUAGGAAUGGAGGGUUUAUAGUAUGGUUGAAAACGGCUGUGGGAGUCAUAAGUAUUGGCCCCAGUGACUGUGUAAAUCGAGUGGCAAGUCCUUAACGGCAUAUGUGGAUAAGGGGAUACUUGAUCAGUGGUUAUUUGAACUCUGCAAUUAAACGAUAUCACGAAAUCCUGGAGAUUACUGCUUCCUAUAUUAAAUGAGGUAAAUUACAGUUGAGACAAUAAUAGAAUUGAAAGUUUUACAUAGUUAAAAAUCCUUAUUAUUAGUCUUUGAAAAAUUCUUUAUUAGUCAGUAUUUAUUUAAUAUACAGUAUUAUUUAAAUUCAUCAACUUACGUCUGAAGUAAAAAAUGUAAAUUUUUGUUGUUGGUUGUGUGUCUUCUUUUGUUUUUUGUCAAGAUUUGGAGUACUAGUGCAUUAAUUACCUGGUCACUCGAAACAACGAGAUUCCCAGUCUGUGAUUGAGCCAACACGUGAUGGAUUAAGAUAUGAAUCUGAAGUCAUUUGAGGCAGCAGUGAGUUACUCGUAAGCAAUUUGUGGUUCAGCCGACAACUUGUUGUUUUAAGAUUUAUACAGAGCCUUCCAAGAGAUGAUGAUAAACAAUGAUAAUAAUUAAUUUCACGUAAUUCAUACAUAUAUGAUAAAAGAUAAUAUAAUUGGUAUACUUCAAGGACAUUAUUCUGUAAAAGGUAAUAGCAUUAUAUGUUUAAAGAGUAGUAUUUGUAUUUUAUAAUAUAUAAAAGUUUUGAUUAAAAAUGAAAUAACUGGUUCAUAAGAAAGAAUAUAGCUUAAACACUCUUCAUGAGUCUAUGGAAUUAUAAUAUUGUUAGAAUAUUUGUGUUGUUUCUUAUUCUUAGGACGAUGGAAUAUAAAGCAGACUUUGAUUUUAAUCCUGUAGAAACGUAUUGCAUUAUCAACUUGAGGACUGUGGUUAUGAAUGUAAAGGCUUGGCAAGUGAACUUUGCGAAUGAACAUUAUCUCGUUGAAGUGUGUUGAUCAGGCUUCCAACUAAAGCCGUGAGUCUUUUAAUGACAUAUUCUAAAAUUUACUUUUUGAGUGUUUUAGUGUUUGCUGUAGCAAUAAGUACAAUAUCAUGGUAAAGAGCAUUAAUGUUGUAUUAACCAGUUUAAGUAAUUAGUUAUUUGAUUUUGUGCAUAAUAACUAUUUGAAAAAUGGAAUGAUUUAAUCCUUUUAGGUGUCUGAAGUGUGAAUUAUUCUAAUAUAAUUUAACAAUCAAAGUCUUAUAAAUGCUUUUGAUUGGUAUUUUAGUACUUGCAAUGUGGACAAACUGCCUAAAUAGUUUCAAAAAGAAUCGAUAAAAUAUUCAUACUACAAUUUAUUGAAAUGAAUAGCUCUAUUUCUUAAUUAAUCAGUUUUUAAUAUGUUUUGAAUAUUUUAUUUGUAUUAGUUUCCUUAGGGAAAAGAUGUGUGUGUAGUAUGGUUUUAGAAGCGGUGCCUAAUCCGGUAGAAAAAUAUGAGUUUGAGGAUGUGAUUUACAAUUAUCCUACGACUAUCCAGACCUGUGGAGUGCGUGUUGGAACCUAUAAACUGAUGUCGCGAAACCCAGGAAAUUACUACCAGCUAUUUAAUAAGAGGAUGAUGAGGUAUAGUAGAGAUGACAAUAUUUCAACUACCUACAUUCCGUAGAAUUUUGGUAUUAAUAUAAUUCUUUACAAUGUCUGUACUUGUAUUGGUUGUGCGUCUUGUUUUGCCACUUUUGUUAGGAUCAGAAACUUACCUACGAUUCAUGCUGCCUGCAUUCAUUUGAGGCAAUAAAUUCCUGCUGUAUCACUUUUUGAGGAAAUAAGAGAAAUAUUGGACCUUUUAUUCAAAGAUAACUAGAGGUAAAUGAUUUAUGUCACAGAACUUAUACAUAUAUGAAUUAGAAUAUAGAAAUUAAUAUUUUCACAAUGUAGUUGUUGGUUGUUCGUGUUGUUUUGUUAUUUGUCAGGAAUAGAUAUCUAACCGCGAUUUGUGGAGUUCCUGCCGUACCUACUUUAUAUUGAGCUUACUACACGAGGAAUUUAGAAAACGAUGGGGCCGAUAAUCGAGGUAGAAAUAUCGGAGGUAAAUGAUUUAUUCACAAGACUUAUAUAAUAGAGGUAUAAAAUAUAAGCACAUGUUUAUAUAAAUAUCAGAAUAGAAAUGUUUGGUAAUAAUAUUAAAACUACCAAUAAAAAGAUUUUAAAGUGUAUAUAUAUAUAUAUUUGAGAAUAAUCAAUGGAAAAAUUAUUGUGGAACUGGCAUCUCGUUGUUUGUUUCUUAGGUGUGGAGGUUGUAGUGUGAUUUAAAUGAACUGUCUGAUACUGCGAGAUUCAUAUGUAUGUGCCCAAGUGAUUUGAAAUUCAUAUGACACUGCAAGUUUUAAUUAACGGGUACGGAGAUUCUUGUAUCGUGCUUGUCGGAGCCCAACAUAAUCAGUUGUCAUGGAAUUGAGGAGGGUGCCAGCUAUAUAGAAAGAGGUACAAUUUAAUAAUUGUACUAUAAAUUAUUUGUUAGCUAUACAGUACUUACUAAUUAAUUCUUGUUUAACCUUUUAUUUGCAAAAAGUUUUUGUUUGUUGUGUGUCUUGGUUUGUUACUUGUCAGGAUUGGAUAUAUUACUGCCAACUGCGAAGGUAUGGGGAGUCACGACUGAAGGGAGUUCUUACUGUACUUUCUUUACUCCAGCCUAUUACGUGAGGAAUUAAGAAAAGUGUGGGAUCUUGUAAGCAAAGUAGUAUUACUGGAGGUAAAUUAUUUGUCACUAAACUUCUACAUAUAACGCAGAAUAUAGAAGUAUAAAAUAUUAGCACGUCACAGGUUCAGAUAAAAGUUUAAAAAAUUAAACAUUAAAACUACCAAUACAUUUAUUUUAAAGCGCUAUUUAUUAUGACUUUAAUCAAUUGAUAAUUUGGAUUGGAAUUGGCAUCUCUCUCUUUGUUUCUUAGGAAUGGAGGGUUUAUAGUAUGGUUGAAAACGGCUGUGGGAGUCAUAAGUAUUGGCCCCAGUGACUGUGUAAAUCGAGUGGCAAGUCCUUAACGGCAUAUGUGGAUAAGGGGAUACUUGAUCAGUGGUUAUUUGAACUCUGCAAUUAAACGAUAUCACGAAAUCCUGGAGAUUACUGCUUCCUAUAUUAAAUGAGGUAAAUUACAGUUGAGACAAUAAUAGAAUUGAAAGUUUUACAUAGUUAAAAAUCCUUAUUAUUAGUCUUUGAAAAAUUCUUUAUUAGUCAGUAUUUAUUUAAUAUACAGUAUUAUUUAAAUUCAUCAACUUACGUCUGAAGUAAAAAAUGUAAAUUUUUGUUGUUGGUUGUGUGUCUUCUUUUGUUUUUUGUCAAGAUUUGGAGUACUAGUGCAUUAAUUACCUGGUCACUCGAAACAACGAGAUUCCCAGUCUGUGAUUGAGCCAACACGUGAUGGAUUAAGAUAUGAAUCUGAAGUCAUUUGAGGCAGCAGUGAGUUACUCGUAAGCAAUUUGUGGUUCAGCCGACAACUUGUUGUUUUAAGAUUUAUACAGAGCCUUCCAAGAGAUGAUGAUAAACAAUGAUAAUAAUUAAUUUCACGUAAUUCAUACAUAUAUGAUAAAAGAUAAUAUAAUUGGUAUACUUCAAGGACAUUAUUCUGUAAAAGGUAAUAGCAUUAUAUGUUUAAAGAGUAGUAUUUGUAUUUUAUAAUAUAUAAAAGUUUUGAUUAAAAAUGAAAUAACUGGUUCAUAAGAAAGAAUAUAGCUUAAACACUCUUCAUGAGUCUAUGGAAUUAUAAUAUUGUUAGAAUAUUUGUGUUGUUUCUUAUUCUUAGGACGAUGGAAUAUAAAGCAGACUUUGAUUUUAAUCCUGUAGAAACGUAUUGCAUUAUCAACUUGAGGACUGUGGUUAUGAAUGUAAAGGCUUGGCAAGUGAACUUUGCGAAUGAACAUUAUCUCGUUGAAGUGUGUUGAUCAGGCUUCCAACUAAAGCCGUGAGUCUUUUAAUGACAUAUUCUAAAAUUUACUUUUUGAGUGUUUUAGUGUUUGCUGUAGCAAUAAGUACAAUAUCAUGGUAAAGAGCAUUAAUGUUGUAUUAACCAGUUUAAGUAAUUAGUUAUUUGAUUUUGUGCAUAAUAACUAUUUGAAAAAUGGAAUGAUUUAAUCCUUUUAGGUGUCUGAAGUGUGAAUUAUUCUAAUAUAAUUUAACAAUCAAAGUCUUAUAAAUGCUUUUGAUUGGUAUUUUAGUACUUGCAAUGUGGACAAACUGCCUAAAUAGUUUCAAAAAGAAUCGAUAAAAUAUUCAUACUACAAUUUAUUGAAAUGAAUAGCUCUAUUUCUUAAUUAAUCAGUUUUUAAUAUGUUUUGAAUAUUUUAUUUGUAUUAGUUUCCUUAGGGAAAAGAUGUGUGUGUAGUAUGGUUUUAGAAGCGGUGCCUAAUCCGGUAGAAAAAUAUGAGUUUGAGGAUGUGAUUUACAAUUAUCCUACGACUAUCCAGACCUGUGGAGUGCGUGUUGGAACCUAUAAACUGAUGUCGCGAAACCCAGGAAAUUACUACCAGCUAUUUAAUAAGAGGAUGAUGAGGUAUAGUAGAGAUGACAAUAUUUCAACUACCUACAUUCCGUAGAAUUUUGGUAUUAAUAUAAUUCUUUACAAUGUCUGUACUUGUAUUGGUUGUGCGUCUUGUUUUGCCACUUUUGUUAGGAUCAGAAACUUACCUACGAUUCAUGCUGCCUGCAUUCAUUUGAGGCAAUAAAUUCCUGCUGUAUCACUUUUUGAGGAAAUAAGAGAAAUAUUGGACCUUUUAUUCAAAGAUAACUAGAGGUAAAUGAUUUAUGUCACAGAACUUAUACAUAUAUGAAUUAGAAUAUAGAAAUUAAUAUUUUCACAAUGUAGUUGUUGGUUGUUCGUGUUGUUUUGUUAUUUGUCAGGAAUAGAUAUCUAACCGCGAUUUGUGGAGUUCCUGCCGUACCUACUUUAUAUUGAGCUUACUACACGAGGAAUUUAGAAAACGAUGGGGCCGAUAAUCGAGGUAGAAAUAUCGGAGGUAAAUGAUUUAUUCACAAGACUUAUAUAAUAGAGGUAUAAAAUAUAAGCACAUGUUUAUAUAAAUAUCAGAAUAGAAAUGUUUGGUAAUAAUAUUAAAACUACCAAUAAAAAGAUUUUAAAGUGUAUAUAUAUAUAUAUUUGAGAAUAAUCAAUGGAAAAAUUAUUGUGGAACUGGCAUCUCGUUGUUUGUUUCUUAGGUGUGGAGGUUGUAGUGUGAUUUAAAUGAACUGUCUGAUACUGCGAGAUUCAUAUGUAUGUGCCCAAGUGAUUUGAAAUUCAUAUGACACUGCAAGUUUUAAUUAACGGGUACGGAGAUUCUUGUAUCGUGCUUGUCGGAGCCCAACAUAAUCAGUUGUCAUGGAAUUGAGGAGGGUGCCAGCUAUAUAGAAAGAGGUACAAUUUAAUAAUUGUACUAUAAAUUAUUUGUUAGCUAUACAGUACUUACUAAUUAAUUCUUGUUUAACCUUUUAUUUGCAAAAAGUUUUUGUUUGUUGUGUGUCUUGGUUUGUUACUUGUCAGGAUUGGAUAUAUUACUGCCAACUGCGAAGGUAUGGGGAGUCACGACUGAAGGGAGUUCUUACUGUACUUUCUUUACUCCAGCCUAUUACGUGAGGAAUUAAGAAAAGUGUGGGAUCUUGUAAGCAAAGUAGUAUUACUGGAGGUAAAUUAUUUGUCACUAAACUUCUACAUAUAACGCAGAAUAUAGAAGUAUAAAAUAUUAGCACGUCACAGGUUCAGAUAAAAGUU
Long non-coding RNA from Homalodisca vitripennis (glassy-winged sharpshooter), 48102 nucleotides. RefSeq lists it as uncharacterized. NCBI's taxonomy places the organism in Eukaryota, Metazoa, Arthropoda, Insecta, Hemiptera, Cicadellidae. The transcript is spliced from 3 exons. The record is from RefSeq and is a predicted model, not a curated record.